RNAcentral lists this long non-coding RNA (70238 nucleotides) under Triticum aestivum (bread wheat). Its description in RNAcentral is "long non-coding RNA (TAES_LNC011724)". The stretch from base 20527 to 20661 matches the Rfam family "MIR1120/MIR1122 microRNA precursor family". The record is from RNAcentral. Lineage: Eukaryota; Viridiplantae; Streptophyta; Magnoliopsida; Poales; Poaceae.
AUUGCGUAGUGUUUUCUAUUGCUCUCUGUGAACUUAGGCGAUGGCAAAUAAUAGCAUCCUCCAGGUCUUCGUUGUUUUUCUCAUUGCACAAGUAUGCUUACUGAUGAUGAUGGCAGCACCAGUAGCGCAGGCAGCUGGCAGGCUUAUGGGAUACAAUCCCGUUUGCUGCCCUAGGGACAUCUACUGUUGUGGGUUUGGUGGUGUGAUGGCCAAUGGAACUGCAUCCUCCACCAAUCCUUGAUAUGUCGUCUCACUCUCCUCCGAGCUAUAAGCUAGGGCAUAUAAAAUGUGCUUCAAGUUGGUCGUUUCGUUUCUUAUAUGCAAUUUGUGCUACUAGUUUCAAGAAAUAUUAUGUGUAAGCUAUUUUGCUAAUAAAAGUGGGAGGAGAUUGUUAUCUAUGUUGUUUGCAAUGUGCCGCAAAGAGAUUUAAAAUUAUGUUUACUGUGUUUUUUGAGGAUCAUAUCACCCUAUAUUUUCAUGGUUAAACACAUGUUAUGAUAAUAAAGGUACCAUCCUUAGUUGAUUCCAGUUUAUUACUAAUCAUACCAGUUAACCCAUCACAUAGAGUGUCAAUUUUCUGCAGACAUCAAGCAACUUAACCCUCGCCAAAUCUUACUGAAUCAAGCUUCUAAAAACUUCUAAAACCCCCCGCAAAAAAAGCUUCUAAAAACUAGACGAGAACUAAUUUGUUUCCUUUUUCUAGCCCUUUUUUGCUUCAUCUUUUUUUCAGCGUUCUUCCCAAUGCCUAAAACCCCGACCAUGCAUGUGUACCAACCCAAUUUAGGUGAGGCACAGUGGCCAAGGCGUCAUGCCUGCUGAUGUAUUUGAACGCUCCGUCCGGCCGAUUGUUUCCUGGCACUCAGGAGGAGGACCUUCUUGGGCGCGACAGUUCUAUCACUCUAUCAGGAUGUCCUCGUGACAUGUGACACCUUGGGGUGUUGAGAAUGAGCAGAUCGAGCAUGCACAUCAGACGUUCGAGAAAUUGCUCGGCAUCUUGGGCGCUCUUGUCGUCUGCCAAACCGUGGACAGGGGCGUGUCCUCGUGGUGUGCUCAUCGAGGUUCCUGGUCGUGGUCGAGCUCUGGUUUAAUUUCCUCGUGUAUGGUCCCCAGUGUUAGUUCGACCUGGCGUGGUGUGGUACGGUGUACAUGAAGGUCUGGAUGUGCCUCGGUUAAGAUUAACGAUGUCAACGGUGGACCCUUCAAAUCGACACAAUAUUUGUCUGCGGACGAUCCAGACUUGUCAUGGAUCCGCAUAUAGGAACCGGCCAUCCAACUCUUUUCCCAAAACGUCCUCUUCUAUUAUUACUUUUAUAUAUAUAAAAAAUACUAGUAACCUUACACCAAAUAGCUAAAUUUCAACCUUCCACCAAAAGGCAUACCGCACAAAAGCAAAUUGAUGUGUGUUGCCAAUGACCUCCCACCAAACAAUGGGCCAGGAGUACAUGUGAGCAUCUACAUUCCGGUGUCUCAAACCCCCUCAUAUGCCCGGGCGAACAGCCGGUUAGUGACCGGUCAAAAAAACCCGACCUAGACGGACGCCUCAAACGGCCUCAAACGCCUGGGCUGAUCAACACCCCUCAUAUAUCCAACCUAAAUAUGGGGCGGAUAUGGGGAGGCCCGGGCAUGACCGUGCACGUCCGCCACGUAGGACCAGGCCCACACUAGCCAACUCGAGCCCACAUAAAUUCGUCCACAUCCCCUCCUCGAACCAAACCCUAUCCACUCCACCCCGUCACCCAAGCUCCCCUCCGGCGUUCUCCAGCCUUUUCCGGCAAGGCGGGUUGUGGAUCCGAGUCCUACACCUCCAAAUCGGUCGUCCUUGAGCUAAUCCCACAUGGCUCCGAGGAGGAGAUGACCAUCCGGCUUGCGCUCCGAAGCACAGUAAUAAUAUCGAGUAGCAUUCAGAGCUCGCUGGUAAUCCGCAUCUACCACCAACCAUCAACAAUGUAGCUUCAGAAGCCACUCCCGAAGGCCGUCCAACGGCAGCGCUCCAACUCCUUCCAUCGGGAAUCCACCGUGCCAUCCCAAACGGCGGCAUGGAUCUGCCGCUAGGUGUGUCAUCGCUACCUGACUAGAGGCGGUGCAGUCCAUCUGGCAUCCGAACGCGGUGACGGACGCGCAAUCGCUCCGCUGGAGCGCCAAGGUGGAGGACGCACCAUGGGCGUCAUCCCAUGCAAACAUGGCGCGUUGUGCACGCCAUGCGAGGCAGUGAGCACGGCAGGCGGCGGCAGCCCUCGCCGGCAGUGGACGUUGGCGAGGUGGAGUUGCAUUCUCUGGCGCGUUGGAUGUUGCACCAGUCCGGGCGCCACAACCGUGUCGUGGUGGAUGCCGCCGGCUCGUCCAGGACGGACCCAUUAUCGAUCUGACAUCCACCGCCACCGUCUGGGUUCCAAGCUCCGAUGAGGAAGAGCAGGACAUGGGAGAUGACGACGCCUUACGUCCCGUGAUCCAUCCCAUAAUUAUUUUUACAACUUCUAUCAGAGGUUUUGUAAAGAUUCUAGAAGCAUGUGAUCGUCUUUGUCAAGUUUAUGGUCAUUUUUUUCAUUUGGGCUUCGAUGUGUUUCUACUAUAGUUUUCUUUGCUUUUCUUAUUUUGUAUUUUUCUUUCAUUUUUUCCUUGUGUCAUUUAAAGUAAAUUCAAACAUCGCGCACUUUUCAAAAAAUUGCAUGCAUGUUUUUCAAAUUCAACAGUUUUUUUAAUUCUAUGAACAUUCUUCUCAAAUAUGUCAUCUAUUUUCCAACCUGUGAACUUUUUCAAUUUCAUGAAUUUGUUCAAAUCUGUGAAUAUAUUAUUCAGAAUCAUCACCAUUUUUCAGAACCACGAACAUUUUUAGAAAUCUGUAGAAAAACUCAAAUGUACAACCAUUUAUUUCUAGUUUGUGAUCCUUUUUUCCAAAUUUAUGAACUUUAAAGAAAAUCAUGGACAUUUUUGGAACGUGUGGUUAUUCUUUUAAUGUGCAAAUUUGUUUAGCUAUAAAAAUGAAAAUCAUUUUUCUCUUUCUAAAUCAACUAGGUAUGUGCCCGUGCGUUGUCACGGGAGCCAAAUCUUAUAAUGCACAAUAAGAGCAUAAUAUACGGUGACAAAUCCUGUUGUUUUUGAAGAUGGUUUUUAUAAUAAAAAUCGACGAGGAGGCUCGUUGUUUACGGAAAAAUACUGCCAAAUUCUUCAAUUGGUAGUAAUUUGGAAUGCUACAUCAAUAGAACUAAAUUUUAUUAGUUGGGGAAAUAAAUAAUGACCUAGUACACAUUAUCAGUCUAAUGAGAUGCAUACAGAUUAUGCAAAAUUGGAUUCUAAAAAAAUAGCACACUCCAACGUCAAUAGAUAGGAACUGCUAAAAUUCGGGUCACAUUGUACAUUCACUGUACCAUGUGACUUGCUAUACCUUUGUGUUUACCUACUGAUCUGAUGUACAAUCCUCGAUGCAAAUGAAUCAUAAAGAUUAACUUCCUUCUUAAAUUAAACAUGACCCAGUUUCGUCCUCUCUGCUGAUUGUGCAGAUGGUAAGUUCCGUCAUGCCAUAGCGUUUGAUAUGGUGAUUGUUCUUUCUGGUGAACUUAGUGGAUGAUAAUGCUUUGACAGUAGAUAGGAUGCAAGAGGAUCAGCAUGUAUAACUGAUUAGAAUUUUUGUAGAGAGAAAACAUAUUAGAAUUGGCUAAGUUGGUGCAACUAAAUAGCAAUUCACAUCCCAAUGCCCACGGGGCAAUGACUGCCACGUAGCAGUACUGCCUUGAAGAGUGACAUCGGUUGGUACAUCGGCUUCUUAGCGAAGCUAGGACCUGUCCAUCCUUCGUGUUCUUGAUCUUGGCGCAGAGUACGUUGGGGAUGUGGCUGAACAGAUAGACCGCACAGAUGCUGCGGAGAACAAGCAACGACCUCACCAAGGUUAGCCAGCAGCACGUUGACGAUGACCCAGUUUGGAAGCAAAGAUUGAGCGAAUCCAUUUACGUCAUGACAUGCAUACACGGGGAGAGAAGAUCAAUCAAGCGAGCUACAUGAAGGAGCGGUGAAAAAUCCGAUCAAAUGAAGGAAACAACACUUGCAAAGAUUCGCCAUGCCGUCCAGGUGUGCGGUCGAGGCGUGUGGAGGCGACAACGGCUACUCCCUCCGUCCAAAAAUACUUGUCAUUUAAAUUGAUGUAUCUAGACGUAUUUUAGUUCUAGAUACAUCCAUUUUUCAUCCAUUUUGAUGACAAGUAUUUCCGGACGGAGGGAGUACAUCGGUGGCAGCAUCCAGGUCGUGCUAUUCCGGCGCGUAAGGCUUCAUUUCCGUAGCAUCGGAUGUAGCAGAUAAAUGGCGACGGUUUGCGACGUGGUUUUCGGGCAGGUGAUUUCUGAUGCGAUUUUAAGGGAAGGUGUGACGCCCAUUGACACAUGUAAUUAUGGUGAUUGCGAUUCUUUAAGGGAAGAUAUGACUCCCAUUGGCGCAUAUAAUUAUGGUGAUUGUGAUUUUUAAGGGAAGGUGUGACGCCCGUGCUUCAUUGGGUCAUGUAAUUAUGAUGAUUGAAUCGAAUCGUCACUUGCCAAUCGAGAAAAAAGGUAGAGUGGAUGGACGAAGGUGGGCAGAACGCGGUAUGUCUGGCAGGAAAACGAACCUUAGGUUCUUUUUAGAUAGUAGAGAGUGCCAUCGGUAGGUACAUCGGCUGCUUAGCAAAGCUAGGACCUGUCCAUCCUUCAUGUUCCUAUCUUGGCGCAGAGUACGUUGAUGAUGUGGCCGAACAGAUGGACUGCACGGAUGCUGUGAAGAACGAGCAACGACCUCACCAAGGCUAGCCAGCAGCAUGUUGACACAUGACCUAGUCUAGAAGGAAAGAUCGAGCAGAUGCAUUUACGUCAUGGCAUGCAUAAACAGGGAGGGAAGAUCAAUCAAGUGAGCUACAUGAAGCAACAAUGAAAAAUCCGAUCAAAUAAAGGAAACAACACUUCUAGAGAUUCGCCAUGCCGUCCAAGUGUGCAGUCGAGGCGUGAGGCGGCGACAACGGCUACAUCGGUGGCAGCAUCCAGGCCGUGUCGUUCUGGCGCGUAAGGCUUCGUUUCUGCAGCAUCGGAGGUGGCGGAUCAAUUGCGACGUGAUUUUCGGACAUGUGAUUUCUGAUGAGAUUUUAAGGGAAGGUUUGGGGCCCAUUGACGCAUGUAAUUAUGGAGAUUGCGAUUCUUUAAGGGAAGGUGUGACUCCCAUUGGCGCAUGUAAUUAUAGUGAUUGCGAUUUUUAAGGGAAGGUAUGACGCCCGUGCUCCAUUGGGUCAUGUAAUUAUGAUGAUUGAAUCAAAUCGUCAUUUGCCAAUCAGGAAAAAAAGGUGGAGUGGAUGGACGAAGAUGGACAGUCAGAACGCGGUCCGUCUGGCAGGAAAUGGAACGUUACGUUCUUUUUAGAUAGCAGAGAUGGAAGCAGUGGCGGAGCUUCAUUGGGGCUAAUGGGGGACCCUCAAGUCUGAUUAGCCCCCUAAACAAUCUUUAUCAAGCUCUGGCAGUGGGUGGAGGCCCCAAGAGGCCAAACAAACGAGGCAACCACCUAGCAAUUACCGGAGUGAGGCGGGAGACCGUCCGACCGCGGCGACAGAGUCGAAUGCUACUGGGUUGUGACCAACCUAGCGCGGCAUGAGUGAAAGCCAUCGUGACCGCCUGAAGGAGAGCUCCUGUUCGGCGCCUUAUGCGCCCAAACAGCUCCCUAGCGCCUGAAGGAGAUGUCUACUGGGCCGGCCCAGAAACCUUCGCUUGAUAAAAGUUCAUUGAUUUUUUAAGUUCAUCAAAAUUGAAAAAAGCUCAUCGAACCUGAAAAAAAGGUUCAUCGAAUUUUAGCAAAGUUCAUCAUAAUUGAAAAAAGUUCAUCAAAAUAUAAUAAAAGUUCAUCGAAUUUGAGAAAUGUGCAUCAUAAUUCGAAAAAGUUCACCGAAUCUGGAAAAUAGUUCAUCGAUUUGUUGAAAAAAGUUCAUCGAUUUCUAAAAAAAGCUAAUCGAAUUAAAAAAAAUCAUCGAAUUUAGAAAAAGUUCAUUGACUUAAAAUGAGUUCAUCGAAUUUGGAAAAACUUCAUUGCGUUUGCAAAAAAGUUCACCGAAUUAGAAAAAAGUUCAUCCAAUUUGAAGAAAAGUUCACUACAUUUGAAAAAAGUUCAUCGAACUUGAUAAAUAGUUCAUCAAAUUUUGGAAAAAAGUUCAUCGAAGUUAAAAAAAAGUUCAUUAAAUCCGGUGAACAUUACGAAUUAGAAAAAAGGAAAAAAUAAAAAUAAAAAAUAAAAAGAAAAUAAGCAAGAAAAAGAAAAGAAAGAACAAAAAAGUUAAGAAAAUGUACUUGAUCAUAAAUCGUUGAGUGGCAGGGUGGUUAUCACGUGGCACGCUGAACCGCUACGGCGCGGGUUCGAGUCCUCCCAGUAUGUGUUUUUUGCAUCAGUUUAGAAAGAAAGAAGGGAAUUUGGGCCGGCCGGCGUCGCGAGCGGGGGUAUGCGCCCUGUACGAUUAACAUUGUAUUCGGCGCUGAGGCCGCCAAAUAGUAUUUGGGCGCCUGAAGCGCUGAACAGGCGCUCCCCAUUUCAAACAAGAACGAUAAGGGCUCCUCGUCAACGCCUUCAUGGGCCGGCCGAAAACAGCGCGUAGUUUGGUAGUCAAAAGUCGCGGUUGACCAGUCUGCCCAUUGAUUUUUAAAAUACGCAAAAAAAAUCCAAAAAUUCCAUGAAUUGAAAUUUUUCAUGGUUUAAGAUACUCAAAUUCAAAAAUAGUUAGAAAAACAAGGUUUUGAAAAGAAGUUCAAUGAUUUGAGAACAAGAUCAUUGAUAUUUUAAAAAGUUCACGAAUUUUGCAAAUUUGGAAAAAGUUCAUCAAUUUUUCUAAAGUGAUGGAUCUAAAAAAAGUCUAUUGGUUUUGGAAAAGAAGUUCACGAAUUAUGAGAAAAUCAUAUGCAUGGAUUUGAAAAUAUAAGAUUGAUUUCAUUAAAAAGUGCAUGCUGUUUGAGAAAAAAGUUUGUAGAUUUCGAAAAAAUUCAUCGAUUUUGAAAAAGUCCACAAACUUAAAAAAGUCUCAUCAAACAUAAAUUUUUUAAAAAGUUCAUCAACUUUGAAAAAAAUUAGGAAUUUGGAAAAUACUUUAUGGAUUUAUGUUCGUCAAUAAUGAAGAAAAUUUCACGAAUUAAAACUUUCUUCGAUUUUAAACAUAAGUUCACGAAUUUGGAAAAUGUUUGCGCAUUUAUGAAUACAAAAUAUACAAAUAAAAAAUAAAAAUAAAUUAAAAGGAACAAGAAAAAUGAAAAAAAGAAGGACCGAAUAAGGGUGGUUCGAAAACUGACCACUGAACCUAAAAAACGGUUUGCGAAGCUUAUGGAAGCUUGGCAAACUGAGGGCUUGUGCGAACUCAAGAAUGAAGAAAAGAAAAGGAAAGUAAAUAGGCAUAAGUGUUACUAUAUCCUAGCCUCCUAGGUCUCAAAAUCAAAUCCCGUCGCCUGCACCCUUAUUUUGAAGUUGAACAGAAAAUAGAAAGGUAAAUGGGUAGGCCCAGCGAGGAGGGGGGGGGGGUGCGCCGGUUGGCGAAAUAACCUUUAACUGAAGCUGCAAUCACCAAAUAGGGUUUGCAAUGAAUGAUAUGUAUUGCUAAUUUUGCGGUAUGUAUCAUCGACAAUGCUCCGUAGUGAGACACAUGGUUUUGCACCAGUUUUGGAGGCAUCUAUCCGGUUUUUGGAAUCCUCCAGCAUUUUUUCCUAUUUCCUUGUUGCUUUUAUGGUUUAUUUUUUAAUUUAGUUUUUCUAUUAUUCUCGUUUUUUACUUUCACUUUUUCUGUUCUUUCUCACUUUUCUGAAUUUUUAAAUAUCCAUUCAAAUUCGCGAACAUUUUUCAAAUUGGCCAAAAUUUUUGAGUUUACGAUAAUUUGCCGAAUUCCUGAAUAAUUGUUAACAUUUCGAAAUUUUUAUUGUAUUAGCGAAGAUUGUCAAAUUCAUAAACCAUUUUAAUCCAUUUUAUAAAAUUUAUUGAUAUUACUGAAAAUAAUGAGAAUUUUUUAUUUUAUGAACUUUGUUGAAAUUUGUGAUCAUUUUUCCAAUUUGGGAACAUAUUUUAAAUUGAUAAACAAUUUUUCAAUCUUUCAACAUUUUCUGAGUUUGUGAUUCUAUUUUGAAUGAUGAACAAAUUUUCAAUCUGUGAAUAUUUUCUGAAUUUGUGAAUCUAUUUUCAAUGACAAACAAUUUUUCAAUCUGUGAACGUUUCAUGAAUUUGUAAAAAAAAUGCAAUUACAGACAUUAUUGCAAAUUCAAAGAGACAUUUCAAAAUUGUGAAGUUUCUUCAAACUGAAGAAGAUUUUUUUCAAUGUCAUGAAUAGUUUUUUAGUUCACUAACUUCUUUUUAUUGACAAAAAAGUUCUAACUGGGACAUUUUUUGAAUGUGUGAAUUGUUUUAAUUUAUGAACAUAUUUCCAGUCAAUGAGAUAAUUUAUUUCUUUAAAACCCUUUUGAAUUCUUUCUUUUUCAAUUUUGUGAACAUUUAUGGAAACUCAUUAAUAUUUUUGAGUCCGUGAGAAUUUUUUGUAGCCACGAAUAUUUUCAAAUUCGUAGACACUUUCUAACUUCAUUGACAUUUUUUUAAUUCACAAACAUCAUUUAAAAAGUCAAUGAUUUUUGAACUCAAGUAAAUGUUUUAAAGUCGUGAACAUAUUUCAAAUUGGGAUUUUUUUUGGAAUUUGGAAGAUUUUUUAAUUCACAAAAAAAUGAUUUAAGAACAUAUUUUUUGGAAUCACAAAAAAAUAUUGUCCUGAACAUUUUUGUAUUCCAAAAUUUUUUGUCACCCUAUAAAUUUCUUUAAAAUACGUGAACAUUUUCUUGAAAUUAGAACAAAAUCUCAUUUUUAUCAUUUUGAAUUCACUGAUAAUUUUCGAAUUAGCUAUUUUUAUUCUCAUUUUUUAUAAAAUCUCAAAUUUUUGAAAUUGAUUAAAGCAUUAAAUUUAUGAACAUGUUUUUAAAUAAAAUAAAAAUGAAGUGAAUAAAAUUAAAAAUUAAGAAUUAGUGAAUUAAAAUUAUAUUUUGGGAAAAAAAGAAAAGAGCAACAAAUUGCAUUUAGGCUCUAGUAGCUAGCUUCCUACCUAGUUGUGCACUGAUGGGCUGCUGCAUCGAGUACUGUUGAUCUAUAAGAUCAGUCUAGAGCCUUCUAUACUACAUAGCCAUGUGAUGCCUAUUUCAAACACAUGAGCUCGUGGGCCUUCCCAAGACCUGGGCCCUAGGCGGUGGUCCCUUCCCGCCUAGACCUAGAACCGGCUCUAUGCCGAUGAUGGCGUGCCGGUAUCGACAUGGUCCCCUCGUGCAUGGCUACGCUUUAGUUCUCGGCCAAGUGUGGUCCGGGUGUUGUGCCCGACCAUUUGGAUGGCAAAGUGUGCAUCGACAAUGACUCAUCGAUGUAUUGUCUGUGCUGGGUUGAGUAGGCAGGGUCAACACAACACAUGGUGGCGAGCGAGGUCAGAAGUGGCUACGUACGGGUCACAAUGAUCGCGUUAUUAUAGGAAAGCUCCUAAUAGUUGGGGUGAAGACCUUAGGUAUGAAUCGAGAUGGUUUUACCUAGCAAUGAUGGUUUUACCUUAUUGAAGACAUUGCUCGAAUAUGCACAGACUUGUUCUUUAGCGUGAAAACUUAGAACCUAGCAUUUGGUAAUUGGACCUGGUGAUAGCAACCGUUUAAGCGUCGUUUUCUUUCUGAAGGUGUUGUUUCUGAAGAGCAUUUCUCAUUGUCCUUGUGGUGUCAAGAACUCAAGAUAUGGUUGGUUUGGAUUUGGUCGUUGUUUGUCGAUAGAUGUUUUGGCUGCUUCGUUUUUCUUUCUUUUCCUGCUUAGGUUUAGCGUUGUUGAUCUUAUAUGACUUUGCUAUUUGUUGGUGUCUUUAUUUAUGUAUGUGCAUUGAUAUUGACUUGUGCAUCCUAUAACUAUACAGAGGUCUAGUAUGUGUGCUCCUUAUGCUUGUAUCCCUUAUACUUCAUUUUGAGUCAUAGAAAUCCACUCUUUAUCGAACAAUGGUAAUCUCCCAAUGUGCAUAGAUAUGUCUAGCUUACGAUUUAUCCUCUGAGCGCAGAAUGUCAAGGAGGGUUGCUUAGUGGCAUCCACUCACCUCGAACUGAAUAGGAGAAGGGGGUGGCGGAGAUGAGAUGAGAGAAAUACUCCAUCCGUCCCAUAAUACAGGAGAGGAUCGCUAGUGUAAAAAAUGUUGUUAUAUUAUGGGACAUAGGGACUAGUAUUUGUUCCUUUUCCUGAUCAAUUGAUUGCCACUUCAAGUCAAAUGGUAUGGGAGAAAUGAGUGGAGACCCCUCACGCGAAAGAAUCGAAUUGCAGAUUUGGGGGGACUGGAGAAGAAACAAUCGAGGGUUUGCUUUCCGUACGAGAAACCUCGACUAUACGGUAGAUGCGAGUGCACCGGGUUGCUAGCCUAGAAAUUCUUUUUCCUGAGUAAAUUCAGAUUGUUUUUCGCUGAGUGAAUUCAGAAUGCCAGCCGGCAUUGUGUGGAACUGUUAAAAAUCACUAAUUAAGACAUACUCCUUGCAAAGCUCACUCCCACAUUUUCAGUUUGUGAUGUACGCCACUUGUCGUGCGUCCAAAUUUCGAAUCAUUUUCACUAUUAGAUUUCUUGCCUCGAGAUCUUCAAAACUAGAUCGCAUGUUGAUAAGUUUUGACGAACUUUUUUUCACGAAAAAAACCGGAUGAAAAAACCGAACCGGGAGCAUGGCUUUUUCCCCUUUCCCAAAGAGACAAGGCAGUGCCUUUCACGAAAUCACAACCGUGCCUCUCCGUAAGAAAAAAAAACAGAAAACACAUUCUCCUUUCCGUUUCCGAAAAGCACGGCCGUGCCUCUCGCGAAAGCACAAUCGUGCCUCUCGCGGAAGCAAAACCGUGUAUCUCGCGAAAGGAAAAAAAAUAGUAAACAUGUUUUUUUUCAUUUUCGAGAGGCACGGUCGUGCUUCUCGCGAAAGCAAAACUGUGUCCUCGCGGAAGCAAAACCAUGCCUCUGGCGGAAGAAAAAAAAACAGAAAACACGUAUUUUUUCAUUUCCGAGAGGCAUGGUUGUGCCUCUCACAAAAGCAAAAACCGUGCCUCUCGCAGAAGUAAAACCGUGACUCUCACGUAAGCAAAAAAACCGCAUAUUUUCGCACAAAUUUUUUUCGGCGUCCAAAAACUAAGGAAGACUUGUGAAAAACUAGUUUAAAAAGCCGAAAACACGUGCAAAAAAAAAAUAAAGAAUCUGAAAAGAGUGCCCAAAGCGCGACACGUGACGGUGGCUNNNNNNNNNNNNNNNNNNNNNNNNNNNNNNNNNNNNNNNNNNNNNNNNNNNNNNNNNNNNNNNNNNNNNNNNNNNNNNNNNNNNNNNNNNNNNNNNNNNNNNNNNNNNNNNNNNNNNNNNNNNNNNNNNNNNNNNNNNNNNNNNNNNNNNNNNNNNNNNNNNNNNNNNNNNNNNNNNNNNNNNNNNNNNNNNNNNNNNNNNNNNNNNNNNNNNNNNNNNNNNNNNNNNNNNNNNNNNNNNNNNNNNNNNNNNNNNNNNNNNNNNNNNNNNNNNNNNNNNNNNNNNNNNNNNNNNNNNNNNNNNNNNNNNNNNNNNNNNNNNNNNNNNNNNNNNNNNNNNNNNNNNNNNNNNNNNNNNNNNNNNNNNNNNNNNNNNNNNNNNNCAAUGGUUAAUCCCUAAAUAGGAGAGGAUUUCCUGCCAAGAAAAGGAGAGGAUUUGCCUUGUUGAUUCUUCCCAUUAAUUAUCAUAUUUGUAGACUUGUUUUUAUGUCACUAGAUGCAGUGAACGCGUCUAGGUUCAUCCUCCUGAUACAAUUUCAUAUAUUUUUAAGAGGCAUUUAUUAUUUAAAUAAUAUAUUAUCUUUCCUAUUCUUUUUUACCACAAGUGCUAUCCUCAAUACUCAGCUAUUUUGUUUUAAUGGAAUUUAUUAGGAUAAGCACGGGCUUCAUGCCAUGUAUCCAUAUAAAUUGACUAUUUGCUAGGAUCAAACACAAACAGACAAGUGAAAAGAGUAUUGCAUAGUGUUUUCUACUGCUCUAUGUGAACUUAGGCGAUGGCAAAUAAUAGCAUCCUCCAAGUCUUCAUUGUUUUUCUCAUUGCGCAAGUUUGCUUACUCAUGAUGAUUGAAGCACCGGUAGCGCGGGCAGCUGGCAGGCUUAAGCGACUCAAUCCAGUUUGCUGCCCUAAGGAAAUCUUUUGUUGUGCGUUCGGUGGCAUGAUGUCCAAUGGAACUGCGUCCUCCACCAAUCCUUGAUAUUUUUUUUCAUUCUCCUCCGAGCUAUAAGCUAGGGCCUAUAAAAUAUGCUUCAACGUGGUCGUGUUGUUUCUUAUAUAUAAUUUUUGUUAUUAGUUUCAAGAAAUAUUAUGUGUAAGCUAUUUUGCUAAUAAAAGUGGAGGAGAUUGUUAUCUAUGCUAUUUGCAAUGUGCCGCAAAGAGAUUUGAAAUUAUGUUUAAUUUAGUGUUUUUAGAGGAUCAUAUCAUCCUAUAUUUUCAUGGUUAAACACAUGUUACGAUAAUAAAGGUACCAUCCGUAGUUGAUUUCAGUUUACUACUUAUCAUAGCAGUUGACCCAUCACAUGAACUCACAGUUUCACUUUUUCUUAAGGUGCCUUUGUUCUGUUGGUAAUUUUCAAAUUUUACAUUUUCAUUGGUGUUUCUUUUUUCUAGCCCAUUUUUGCUUCAUCUCUUUUUUAGCAUUCCUCCCAACGCCUUGACACCCCAACCAUGCAUGUGUACUGACCCAAUUUAGGUGAGGCACGGUGGCCAAGGCAUCAUGCCUGCUCAUGUAUUUGAACACUCAGUUGUUUCGUGGUACAGAGGAGGACCUUCUUGCUCAUGUGCCACCAUUUGAAGGAUCUCGGUGCGGCAGUUCCACCAGGAUGUCCUCCUGAGAACAUAGUCGGACUCCUCAAAUUGAUCGGGUAGGUGCGGGGACAACUGAGCAGAUAUGAGAGAGAAACAAAAAGUAGCAAAAGGUUGACCCAACCGGAUCCCUCAUAUCAUCCAUAUACGCCCGGGCUGUCCAUGAACUCUCAUAUCCAUCUCAAAUAUGGGGAGGAUAUGAGGCCUCGCGGACGCGCCCGGGCGUGCUCGGUCAGUCCGCCACAUAGGACGAGUCCCCACCCCGGACCACAUUUUCUCUUUCUUUAUUCAUUCUUUUCUUUCUCUUUCUUCAUCUUCACCAAUCACAUGCACGUGACCGAACAUAUGGGGAAGAAUAGCAUACCCCAUAAAAGCCACAUAAACCCAAUUUAGUUUGAUUUAUGCCAAAUUAGUGUUUGUUUCCUAUGACCUCCCGCCAAGCAAUGGGCUAGGAGUACAUGAUUUCUGUCAAAUAUGUCAUGUUGGUUGGUUGUUUCCCUUCCUUCAAAUAGCACCAGCCUUCUGCCAUCCUACACGGAUGAGGGUACAUGAGGACUUCUGAUUGGCCAGGCGGAUGUCCGGACAGCCGCAAAGUUCCCGCAACUUCUUGUCCUAUUUGUGGGAUUCUAGACAGUCACACGAGUCCACGGACAUACGCAAGAUGGGUUGGACGGCAAACUGCGUCCAGACAGUUCGGUCCUGGUGUUUGCGAGGCAUUUGAGGGUCGUCUUUGGAGUUGCCCACAAGGGCCUCUUCGAUUCGUAGGAAUUUCCAAAUGCAAGAACAAGAAAAAUACAUGAUUGAAGUGGACAAUCCUAUAAGAUACAAAAGGGAGCGUUUGAUGCCAAAGAAAAAAAAUUAGUAAAAGAGGUUGGAGUGUAUGAACUGUAGUACAUAUAAUUUCUUAAGAAAAAUCCCUAUAGGAUAUAAUCCUACAAAUCAAACAACCAACCUAGAAAUACUUCAUAAGGAAUCUACUCCUCCAAAUCCUAUGAAAUUUGUUCUUUUUGUGUGUGGGGAAAACCUCUAAUCAAUUCGUGAAACAUCAUGGCAGUACAAAGAACACCCAAAGUAAAAGAAAUCACAUCCAUGUCCGUAGAGCACCUAGCCAUGACUACAAGCACUGGAGCGAGCCGAAGGCGCGUCGCUGUCAUCGCUCCUCCCUCGUCGAAGCCAGGUAAACCAUGUUGAAGUAGAGAGUCAGGAAAUUGACGAGCUAAGGCCUCAAUGGUCCAGCGCCAGAAAGGAAAACUGCCGCCGAUGAAUAGAAGCGUAGAUCAAAAGCGUUCAACCUGUAGACACAAGAAUGCAAAUGAAUAAAAACCUGAUCCAAGCUGAUUCACCAAAGACAAACAUCGACUGAAUCAUGCAACAUCCACCACUGAUAGACUUCCACACACCCUCUGACAAUGUUACAUGCACAACCGAGACAUGGGUUAGGGGGAGAACCUUAUAACAUAUUCAGGGAGCCGCCACCGUCGCCUUGUCUUCCUGAACCCUAAAUCUUAAUCUCCAAGUGCACACAUGGGGGGCUGCUGAGUGGCCUCGGCUCUCCUCGAAUCCAUUCAUAGAAAGGGGGAAGGAUAUGGGAUGGUUUGAGUACAAAAAAUCAUCACAAUUGGGGCUAGAUCUCAUAUACCACUAGACUUACUAACAAUCACAAUAAAACAAUCAAAAUUGAGACAAGGUUGUAAUAUAUAGCACUACUCUGUAGCUAAACGUGUUCUAACAUCGAAUCUGACCAAUGGGACGACCCACUUAUCAUGAUGACAUGGCAUGUACACGUGGAUAGUUUAUUUGGUUGGAGGUCUCACUAGUCAUCUUGCCGUCUUAUUUCCCUCUCUCCCCCUUCUUUGUCCAUGAGAAGCCAAACACCGACGAAAGGGCAGGCGAACAUUGGGAGGUAGGGGUGAUUGGCGAACCCAAUGCUUACUCUCCCCUUCCUCCCCACCGCUUCGUCCUGGAGGUUGAAGCACCGCUAGAGAUGGGAGCAGCGGUAUUAGGAUUUGGGAGAGAAAGAGAGGAAAAGAAGAUGGAAGGAUGACAAGUGGGACCCUCGGCCAAAUCAUCAAAUUAUCUACGUUUAACAAUUUUCAAAUGCAUGAUUAACAUUUUUAAUAUAUUUGUUUUUUACGCCUACUUGUUUCCACAGACCUUGUACAUUUGGUUAUACAUCAUAAACAUGUUAUGUAUAUAUUUUAACAAAAAUCAAUACAUGAUUAAUAUUUUUGCAAACAUAUAUUUUAAUAUCCACUUUUUUUCAUGCACGUUGUACAUUUUCCGUAUACAUUAGAAUGUUUUUGUAUAUAUGUUUAACAUGUUUCAAAUGCAUGACUAACAUUUUUAAUUUUUGACAUAAAGUGAUAUUUCUAUCAUAUAUAUUUAGAAUAUUUCCAAAUAUAACUAAAAGCAAAAAAAGAAAUUAGAAAACAAAAGCAAAAUGCGAAAAACUGAAAGAAAACGAGUGCUUAAUGCCGCACAUGCAGGGUCGGCCCUGUAACGCAGGUUAGAGAGGUUCCCGCGCCCACACGACUGCACAUAUGGACCGGGCCAUCGCGUGUGACACGAGCGCUCAACAGCGGGAAGCUCGUUCGGUUUGGGUCUGGUCGAAAACAAAAAUGCUCGGUGGCUUUGGGUCUGGUCAACCGUUUUGAACUAAAAAAAUAUGUAUCAGAAAAACCAAACAAAUAGCCAAAUGCGGAAAAGAUUUGAAUUCAAAUAAUUCCAUGCAUUUUGAAAAAAUGCAAAAAAACUCAUGAUUUUGAAAAGGCACUAAAUUUUAAAAAGUUCAAGAUUUUGCUAAAAAAAGUCAUUGAUUUUGAAAAAAAGUAAAUUGAUUUUACAAAUAAUCAUAAACUUUGAAAAAACCCCAUGAAUUUUAAAAAAGUUCAUCAAUUUUUAUAAAAGAUAGCAAAAUUAAAACAAUCAGUGGAUUUUAGAAAAUCAUCAAUUUCAGAAAACAAUUCACUAGUUUUAAAAAAGUCCACCGGAUUUUAAAAAAAGGUUCAUGUAUUUGAAAAUAAUUCAUCAAUUUUGAGAAAAAAAGUUCAUGAAUUGAAAAGGUUCAUCAAUUUGAAAAAAAACAUGAAAUUGAAAAGGGUUCACCGAUUUUCAGAAACAAUCAUAAAAAUGAAAAGGUUUAUGAAUUUGAAGAAAGUUUGCGAAUUAAGUGAAAUAAAGCAAAAAAGAAAGGAAAACGAGAAAACAUAGAAAAAAGGCCAAAAAUAGCAAAACACGAGAAAGAAAAACCAUGGGGCGUGAUGUUUUUUUUACUUUACAUUUACCUCAAGAUGAAAGAAAGAGGUACAUGGGAACAACAACCAUGUUGGUGCAAUGGUUAACACCACCGUGUCGGAGCAAGGAGUGCUGAGUUUGAAUCCUCUCCAUCUCACACUUUUUUGAACCUUAGAAAGAAAGGAAAAUGGGGAAAUGAACUGAACCCAGGGCGGUGGGGGUGUGUGCGCCAACUAUCACAAAGCACUAUAGUGGAUGCUGAAGGCACCAUAUUGGAAUUGUUGAGUGCUCCUGCCGUCUCGCGUGAACCACUUCUAUGUAUCGUUGUAAGCAACUGUGUGAGCUUGCUCACCUACGAUGACCCCUUCGUGGGCCUGCCCGGUGAGGAGAGCGACACCCUCCCAGUCCCGAGCCACGUGUGGGGCAUGUGACAUGUACAUCUCGCACUUUUUUGAACCUUAGAAAGAAGGGAAAAAGGGAAAAUGUGUCGAGCCUAGGACGACAGGGGUGUGUGCGCAAGUAGUAAAAAGCACUAUGACGGGAAGCUGAAGACGCCGUAUAGGAAUUGUCGAGUGCUCCUGCCGUCUCGCGUGAACCACUACUAUCUAUCGUUAUAAGUGACUAUGUGAGCUCGCUCGCGUACAGCGACCCCUUCGUGGACAUCUCGCUACUUGAACCUUAGAAGAAGGAAAAACAAGGGAAAAUGGGUCGAGCCCAGGACGGAUUGGGGUUUGUGCGCCAAGUAGCAAAAAGCACUAUGAUGGGCGCUGAAGGCGCCAUACAAAAAUUACCGAGUGCUCAUGUCGUCUCGCGUGAACCACUACUAUGUACCAUUAUAAGCAACUACGUGAGCUCGCUCGCCUAUAGUGACCCCUUCAUGAGCCUGCCCAGUGAGGAGGGCGACACCCUCCCAGUCCCGACGAGCCACGUGCAGGGCAUGUGACAUGGAUGUCUUUUUAUUUCUUUCUUUUCACAAAUUAAUUUUCGUUUUUUCUUCCAUGACCGGUCUAAAAAAUAAAAUAAAAUGUGUUUAUACUUCUAGUUAUUGAUAAAGUUCGUGAAAAUUAAAAAAACUGUUUCCGGGAAUAAAAUUAUCCCUGUAAUUUAAAUUUGUUCAUAAAUCUACAAAAAUGUGUUUGAUUCCUAAAACUGUUCAUGAAUACGGAAUGUCCAUGAAGUAGAAAAUAUAUUCAUGAUUUGACAAUUUUUUCACUAAUUCAUUAAUUUUUCAUGAAUAUAAAAAAUGGUUGUGAUUCAAAGAAAAUGUUCGUGAAUUCAAAAACUGUCCACGAAUUGAAAAACGGUCCACUGAUUCGAACAAAUGCCCGCGAAUUCAUUAAGAUGUUCAUGGUUUUUAAAAAUAUUCACAGAUUUUCAAAAGAUAAUCGAAUUUGAUUUUUUAGAAAUUAUCACUAAUUAGUAAGAAAGAAAACGGAAACAAAAAAAAAAUAGAAAGAAAACUGAAAUUUUUUCAUGAGAAAAUAGAAUAAGGGAAAAGAGAAGAACCUUCCGGAACCUUCCCAAAACCGAACGGAAGGUUCGCAAAAGCGUUCCUGUUUCUGGAUGUGAACAGUUCACAUCGGAGCGUGAGUUGGCGAGUUCUUGCUUAGUGCUCACUAAGGCGAUAGAUAUCAUUUCUGACAUAAUAUGAACAGCCUAUAUGGACGUCCUAUCAAUAGGCCCGUGACGCCUAUUUUAAGAACACGAUCUCGUCGGUCGUCAUGAGGUGGUGCAUGGCUGCUCUUUAGUGCUCCACCUCCACGCCGUGUAGGGCCCUGUCGGGAGGUCCUAUUCGGCGUUGUAGGUGUCUGAACCUGAAAAUGGCGCACCUCGUGAAGCAGAGCUCGGGUGCAAGAACCUCAACGUUCAACGACGAGGUUACGAGGGGCUGCUUGUCACCUCGCCUCGCUACACCUCACACCAGUAAGUCCCGUCUUUCAUCAAUGAUGGUUCAUUCGAGGAAAUUAACAAUAAUAACAGUUUGAUUGUCGACAUGUUCCCACUCCCAGGUUGAACUCUACUGUCCAUGCCAAGAUCGGAGACGUCAGACUGCACAUUGUUGGCAAGGAUGAAUACGAUGAUGAGCUUCCUGUCAAGGAGCCGAGGUUUUUGCAGAUUGAACAACCUAACCAUACACUUCCUAGACGAGUACAGGAGGAUUUGCCGUCCAAACUAGGCUUGGACAUCCGGGUGCUGCUACCCACCACAAAGGAAAAGAACCCUGCAACCUUCUCAAGAGAUAUAUCAUCGUUCAGCUCUGAGUCUUGAGGUGGCAGUGAAAUUGACCUCCCUUUGUAAGUAUGAAAAAACAGAAGUAUAAACAAGUAAAGGGUUCUGGAAAGUAACUUAUGUUCCAGGACAAGUUCUCUUAAGUUUAUAUAGCAUGGUGAUUAGAAAGAAAUUAGAACUUGAGCAUUGGCGGUGAAUUAUAUAUCUCAAAAGAGUGAUCAAACAGAGAUGAGAGAGAGAGAAGAUAAGGAGUAUACCCUGACUUGAUUAAUUGCCGUAGCAGGUUCGCAUUCCCUGGCCUCCUCUUUAUGUAUCUUAAACUCUCUCGCACCUUCUUCCCGGACACACACACACACACACACACACACACACACACAAGGGCACAAGGUCCUUCCUUGUGAACCUCAACACGAGGAGGUCCUUUUGUCGUCCCGCCUUCAUGUCUGUCUAAUGUUUAAGGAAUUCUAGUUCGUUCGUUACAGAAACUGUAGUACCGAAUACAUCAACUAGGUGUGCGCCAACGUUACUGCUACCAUGUUGUUUUGUCAUUGUCUAACUUCCCUCCUCGCAAGGCCGAGCAAAUAAUAAUACUAACUAACAAAAAGGCCCGUCCGUUGCAACGGGAGAGAAAAUACCACACACUCUUAAUUUAUAAAAAAUGUUCUAUAAUCUGAGAAUUUGUAGUUAUUUCUUAAAUACAUGAAGAGUUAAAAAGGUUGUUAAAAAGAUACAAGAUUUUUUAAUCAUAAAAAAGAUUUUUUUUGUCUGGAAAAGAACAUUUUUUAUGGUCUCAUGUUAACGCAGGUACUUGCGCCCCUAUUUUAUCACUAUUUUUUGCCAUACAUGUUGUAGGUAUUGGUCCCUGUUUCACCAUAUUUAUUUCUUAUUAAACUUGUCUUUUAUUUUAUUUUUUGUCAUGCAUGCCUCCUUUUUACUUUUUUCAUGCAUGUCCUCUUUUCCUUCUUCUUAUAUAUAGGAGAAUAGCGCAACAUCUCAUCUUUAUCGGAUCUCCUCUGCAAUUUCUCUUUUAUUUUUUUAUAGCGGACAUCCCAUCUUUGUUUGGUCCUUUUAUUUCUUGUAAUGCAUGUCCUUAUUUAUUGGUGUCUCUAACAAAUUUAUCUUUAAUUUGAUGUCCAAUCCUGAUUUUGCUGAGGUGUUCAUCCCCAGUCUGAAUCAGUACCCUAUGAAAAAAGACAGAUAAUGCAUUGUUGAUUAACAUUGCAGCCUAGAUAGUGUUUUUAAAAUUGUUAACAGGUAAAAUAACAUCACAUUUAGAUUCUACAUAUUUUUUAAUCAAAUUUCAUAUAUGAUAUGUUAAAUUUGGAGUUACGGUUUAAAAGAUAUGAGUAUUUUAAAAAACAUUUGAUAUGUACUGCGGAUAUAAUGUCAGAAACAUCAGGGGUUUUUCUACAAAAUAGCAUGAUGGACUAAGAAAAUCUAUUUCUUUUAUUAGUAGGUAUAGAUAUGAUUGUUGACAUGUUCCCAGGUCGGUCUUUAUUAUACAUGCCAUGAUCAAAGGCGUUGUAUAUUGUUGGGGAGGAUUGAUAUGAUGAUGAGCUUCCCGGUGAGGAGCUAAUGUUUUUGCCGGUUUAAGUACAUGAAGAUCUGCUCGUGCCUUGAUGAGGUCAUUCAACCAGAAAACCAGCAAAACGACGGUGAUCAUCGUCCAACUCCAAACCAGGCUUGAGCUUCCAAGUGUUGUUGUCUGCGAAAAAGCAAAAGGUGCCAUGUAAACAUGGGUACAUAAUCAAAUCCGAGAACUAGUAUAUAUAUGUGCAAUUGAGAAAGAUUUCACAUGUAUCUACGUAGGUAGUCGACCAGGGUAGGGUGCUUGAGCUUUGUAAAAAUAUCAGAUUAGAGAACUAACAUGACUUUUUGGAGAAGAGUCGCGUGUGUGUCAACAAAAUCUUAAUUCUUUAAAAAAGUUAUUAGAAAUCCAACAUUUUGAUCAGUCCACUUGGCUUCAGUGUCAACAUGAAAAAGAAAUCAUGAAAUAUUCUAUGUAAGAUUUUGGCUCUAGCCUUUCCAAGCGUGUGAUCACAUAGGAAACAUGAGAAACUCUAGCACACACAAAGUCAUCUCUCACAAAAUGUGCUUUAUGGGCCGAAAGAGAGGGACUAGAUGUAUGAUGUCUCCCAUAUGGUAGAUUUGUGUCCAUAUUCAUCUUUCUAUCAAUCAUAGAUUGAAUUUGAGUAUAUAUGUUCCACUCUACGAAUAAAUAAAUAAAUGAAUUUGAGUAUGUGUAUCAAGGCAGUAAGGAUAUACUCCCUCCGUCCGAAAAUACUUGUCAUCAAAAUGGAUAAAAAGAGAUGUAUCUAGAACUAAAAUACAUCUAAAUACAUCCUCUUUUAUCCAUUUUGAUGACAAGUAUUUCCGGAUGGAGGGAGUAUUAGUUAAAAAAAAACUAGUCUUAGACAGACCAAUGUUGUGACUAUGUGUGCAACAUCUUUUCUCGUUACCACGAAUGUUAAGAAUAUUGUCAUAUAUUACUACAUUUAUGAAAACAAAAAUUGCAAUCUCGAAUUGCUAAUGCGAAUAUAAAGUUCACAGUUUGUAAUAGACGUGCAUAGUGUGAUUUUAUAUAUGCAACCAAGUUGGAUAAUAUUUUGAUUUGAUUAUUAAACAAAACACUCACAUCUGACAAAACAAAUCGUCAACUUGUAUUAUGCAUGGGACAUGUCGACGCUAGCUUCAAAUUCCAAAUUAAGUUACAAGAUAGCACCAACUCGGCUAACUUUUAUCAGAGUAUACAAUGCAUAAUAGUGUACUUUGAACCGGGAAAUAGUGUGAGGAAUUGUGUGGUGAUGCAUAAGAGGAUCAGACCCCCUAUAUUGUGUACCGCACCUGAAUACAAUAUAUGUAUCUUUACUUAUUUUUAUGUAUUAAUUGUAGACCUCAAUGCAAAUCUCUCUAUACUGCCAAGGUCCAAAAGUUGAAGUGAACUGAGUGAGGCUUAGAUGGUUAGGUUUCAUGUAGUGGAACUAGCCCACCAAAGUUCAAGUCCUAAAUUUGGCACUGCUGAUCAUAUUUUUUGGAUUUAUUUCAUGCUUUCUCGCGAUGUACAUUCUGUGGGAGGAGAUGUUCCUGUUGAUUAUGAUUUACGAGACGCCUAUAAUGACUUCACCAAUCUCAAGAUGCCAUGCCGCCUUAGUAUCUCGGAGGUGCUCAUAGUGAUAGUAUGUGUGCACGCGCGCGUUCAUAGGGAUGAGUGUAUAUACGUGUAUGUGGGCAUAUGCGAUUGUACUGUGUUCAUUUUUUUUUACAAAAGUUGGCAUCCUUAGAUAUCGUGUCAUAUAUCUACAAGAUACGAUCGCUAAUGAUGAAUUUAUCUUCUACACUUUUUAUUCAUAAGUAAUCCCUGAAUUAAUACAAGAGGAUUUGCAUGGUUAAUUCUUCCAGUAAUUAUCAAAUAAUGUAGAUUCGUUUUUAUAUCCAAUUCGAUGGGCACUAGAAGUAGUGAACGUGUCUAGAUUCAUCCUCCCAUUAAAUUUCAUAUAUUUUUAGUAGGCAUUGAUUAUUAUUACUACUAUUCAAGAAAUAUAUUAUCUUCUCUAUUCUCUUUACUACCAAUGAUAUCCUAAAUAUCCAGAUAUUCUGUUUUAAUGGAAUAUUUUAGGAUAAGCACAAGCUUGAUGCCAUUGUAUCUAUAUAAAUCGAGUAUUUUCUAGGAUAAACCAUAGACAUACCAGCGAAAGGAGUAUUACAUAGUGUUCUCUACCACUCUCUGUGAACUUAGGCAAUGGCAAAUACUAGCAUCCUCCAAGUCUUCAUUGUUUUUAUCAUUGCGCAAGUCUGCUUACUCAUGAUGAUGGCAACACCGAUAGCGCAGGCAGCCGGCAGGCUUAUGGGAUACAAUCCAGUUUGCUGCCCUAGGGACAUCUACUGUUGUGGGUUUGGCGGUGUGAUGGCCAAUGGAACUGCAUCCUCCACCAAGCCUUGAUAGGUGGUUUCAUUCUCCUCCGAGCUAUAAGUUGUGUUGUUUUUCAUAUAUGUAAUUGUGUUACUAUUUUCAAGAAAUAUUAUGUACAAGCUAUUGUGUUACUAUUUUCAAGAAAUAUUAUGUACAAGCUAUUUUUCUAAUAAAAGUGGGAGGAGAUUUUUAUAUAUUACCUGUCUCAAUGCACAUCUCUCUGUCUUGACAAGAUCCAAAAGUUGGCAUCCCUUAGAUAUUGUGUCCUAUAUCUACAAGAUAUAGUGACUAAUGGUGAAUUAUCUUGUACAUUUAUUAUUUUCUAUCCAACAUACCCUAAAUACAAGAGGAUUUUGCUUGGUUAAUUCCCCCCAUUAAUUAUCAUAUCUUGUGGAUUUGUUUUUAUAUCGAAUUCGGUGGUCACGAGAUGCAGCGAAUGUGUCUAGGUUCAUCCUCCCAAUAAAUUUCAUAUAUUUUUAGGAGGCAUUAUUAUUAUUAUAAAGAAAUAUAUUAUAUUUCCUAUUCUCUUUACUAUUAAGUGAUAUCCUCAAUAUUCAGAUAUUCUGUUUCAGUGGAAUUUAUUAGGAGAAGCAUAAGCUUCAUGCCAUUGUAUCUAUAUAUAUCGAGCAUUUUCUUGGACCAAACACGGAGAUACCAGUGAAAGGAGAAUUGCAUAGUGUUCUGUACCGCUCUUUGUGAGCUUAGACAAUGGCAAAUAACAACAUCCUCCAAGUCUUCAUUGUUUUUCUCAUCGCACAAGUCUGCUUAGUCAUGAUGAUGGCCAUGCCGAUAGUGCAGGCAGCCGGCAGGCUUAUGGGACAUGAUCCACCCUGUUGCCCUAGGGACCCCUGGUGUUGUGGGUUCGGCCGCGUGAUGGCCAAUGGAACUGAAUCCUCCACCAAGCCUUGAUAUGUGGUUUAAUUCUCCUCCAAGCUAUAAGCUAUGUCCUACAAAAUGUGCUUCAACGGUGGUUGUGUUUUCUUAUAUGUAAUUUGUGUUGCUAGUUUCAAGAAAUGAUAUGUAUAAGCUAUGUUGCUAAUAAAAGUGGGAGGAGAUUGCUAUCUAUCUUGCUUACAAUGUGCCACAAAGAGAUUCAAAAGUGUUUGCCGUAGUAUUUUUAGAGGAUCAUAUCAUCCUCUAUUUUAAUGGUUAAGGACAUGCUACGGUCAUAAAGGAACCAUCGGUAGUUGAUUUCAAUUUAUUACUAAACAUAAAAGUUUAGCCAUCACAUAGAGUAGCAAUUUGUUGCAGACAUGGACCAAAUACCAUAUUAAUUCAUUUAUGCCAUUGCAUCUCAGCAUAACUGAUGCAGAACCACGGAGCUAGUGUUAUUCGCACAAGGUUUCUUUUGGCAGUCCGACGCUGAUGUAUUUGCUGGACCGUGUCAAAAAAUCGUUCAAGAGUCGACAUAUAGAUUAUGCCCCCUGCAUCAUACCUUCGUUUGAUGCCCCUGAUUAAAUCAUACACUAAUUAUACACGCAAAUGUGUACGAUUAAGAUCAGAGACUCACGGGAAGAUAUCACAACACAACACUAGACACAAAUUUAAAAUAAUACAAGUUUUAUAUUACAAGCCAGGGGCCUCGAGGGCUCGAAUACAAGCUCGAUACACGAGCAACUUAACCCCAUGCAUGUCCCUCGGCCCCCGCCAAAGAAAUCUUACUCAACCGAGCUUGUAAAACUACAAAGAGAGUCGAGCAACUUGCUAAUCUAUGGGAACACGCCGUCUGGCCGAUUGUUUCAUGGCAAUGAGAGGGGGGUGGAACUUCACUCAUGUGUCACCAUUCAAAGGAUCUCAUCAGCGCCAGUUCCAUCAGGCCGUCCUCCUGACACGAGUGAGACACCUUGGGGUGAUGAGAACGAGUAGAGCAUGCAAAUCAGACGUUGGAGAAAAUGCUCAGGUCAGGCACGUUCGUCGUGUGCCAAACCUUGGACAGGGGCGUGUCCUGGUGGUGUGCUUGUUGAAGUUCCUGGUCGAGCUCUGGUUUACUUUCUCGUUCAUGGUCUUCGGUGUUGUUUGAGCUUAGGUGCGGUGUGGUACGUAGGAGGUUCCGGGUGUGCCUCGAUUCACUAUUUUGGGCAGUAUGACGUACCGUAAAAAUCUCCUGAGAUUAGGCUUCCAUUGCCAGAGGAUCAGCUCAGCAGCAUGCUCAUACCAUCUCGCCUGUGCUAGAAUCAAUCUCCCUGCAUGGUCAUGGACAGGGAGCCCUCCUUGUCCAGCCUGCUCCGUAAGCUCCUAUCCACCGUUGAUUUUGAGCACACCCACAUCUAAUAGGCCAGGAACUCGAAUGUAGGGCUGGAACUUUAGUCGUUGUUCAGUCUUUAGCUACUCCCAAAACAACUUUGCCCAGGUGCACUCGAAGAAGGCAUAUAUGUGCCAUAGCUUCCUCUACUCCUCAUGGUUCGUAGAACGCAGGCCGCUCGAUGUGUCUAUCUCGUAGGAUCGCCCGGCAUGGAACAAAUUUGUGGAUCACCCUCAACGAGAAGUUACAUACUUUCGGUGGCACCGCUAGCUUGCAGAGCCUUCUCUCCAGCACUUGUUCACCCUCUCCCCUGAAGCUCGAGGCCCUACCAUUAUCCACACUUCUUGGCACCAAUGCUCUGUAAGCAGAUCGUACGGUGCAUUUUCCAAAAUUUCUUGAGAUUCGAAGCCCAACUGUCCUCGGCAAAAUUCUCGACUGGCAUCUGAUCUGCAUAUAGCCUCCACGUCAGGUGCAACAAAAUUCGCCUCAAUCACCUCCAUGUUCAAGUGCUCCGAGUCAUGAUCAAUAAGUUCGUGCACAGCUUAAAAUCCUCCCAAACUCUGAUUGAAGCUCCAUCGCCCACGUAUGCGACGAGCUCGUUUCUUGGUGGUUUGUCUGUAGUAUGUGGAGGUGGCAAGCCAUGUCCUGGAGACCGUAGACCACAUCCGGACGACGACGUCUUGAUUGACGUCUUGCGACGCAAAGCUGUGCCAGUCUGGUCGCGACCAAAUCAUGGACACCGAGGCCUGUGGCAAUCCCCGCGACACGGAGACCCACAUAGGCGGCAGCCACAUCCUCAAGGUGGAGAGAGACCUAUCACCUAUGAUGAUUCGGAGGAAACCUCUCACCAUGCUAUGCCACCCACGACAACCACAUCCCUAAUUCGAUGUGUUAAUAGUUCAUGUUGGAUGGCCUCUCUGAAUCGGGCUUGUCGAUGGCAAUUCUUCUUCUUUGGUGUGCAGGUGCCCAGAGUGUAGCUUUUGAAUGUGAAUCUAAUGGCAUUGGUGAAUAAACACUGUAAGCUGGUGGUGAAUAAAAAUUUCAGAAGGACAUGAGUUUAGUUUUUGCGUUGUUGUCUAAUAUAUUUGGUCAGACUGUUAUGAUUUCUAAUUUGAGGUGUUGCUUGGCUGAUAGAUGCUGUAAUUUUGUUUCAGAAGCAAAAUAUAACUGAUCGGGUAAAGGGGGAAGACCAUCACAAAUCAGCAUAAUUUCAGAGAAAAAAAAAGAAUCCACUUUCCUUGUUUGUUUUAUCACAUCUGGCACUCCCUCUGUUCACAAAUAUGUUCUGUGUAUUUCAAUAUGAACUACAAUAAUACAAUGAACUUCACUGCACAUAAAGGAUAGCACCAUAUAAUGAGAACAGAUUCGGAUUACAAUACCCAGAUAACAUGUCACUUCUUUAGUGAUCUAAACGAUCAGCGGGAGUAGUAGUUUUACACUCUACAUUGGGGUGAAUUUCUUUAAGAGAACACCUUUUAUUGGCCAAAGGUCUAGAAACUGAAUUUUCUUUAAGAGAAAUGCACCCUGUUGAAACAAGUCAGGCUACAAGAAGUGCAGUUCCUUCACAUUCAGCCAAUAAAAAGUGUACCGAUAAGAAUUUUACUCUGAUAACACACACUAUAUAGGCUUCAAACAUUGUGCUAGAUAAGAUAACUAGCUACUAACUCCAAGGAUAUCAGCAAACAUCUCUUUCCAUCCAUCCCAAUCCAGAUACAUCCAAGUGGCAAGCAUUGUAGGCAGUCCAUAUACCAGGCAAUUAUUGAAUCUUUCUCUUGCACGACAGAAGCGCCUAAAGAGGAGAUUACCAAAAAUAUUAUACAUCAAUUUAGAUAAAUUAGGGAGAGCAGAUAAAUCUGCAUAUGUAAUUUUGUGGAUCAUACCAGAGGGCAUCACUGGGAUUGGGCUCAAUGUGUCCGAAGAGAUGGUGGAUAAGCUCCCUGUUCUCUCGGAAGUACUUGUUACGCGAGGGGAAUCUGCUAUCAAGCUCAGCGAGCUGGUAGAAGAGGUCGCGCUUCUUGGUCUCGACUUCAAUUAUCUGACGACGGCCCCAUGCUCUCUUGGCGUCGAGGUCUAGCGCAGGUUUUGCAUUUGGUUGCUGUCAACGGAAGAUGAAGGUUAUAGACAUCGAUUGAGCUAUACUACUCCCUCCGACUUCAGAAAGAAGGCAUGCCAUUUUGUCUGAAGCAAACAGUGCACAGUUUGACCAGAUUUGCAGGAAAAUUUGUCAACAACUACAAUACUAAAUAAAGAUAAUAUGAAAAAAAAAUCAUUGUGUCUGCCAAUUUUUUUGGUUAAUCUGUUAUGUUUGGGGCCAAUCACUGGGAGAUUUGACCAAUUAGCAAGGCAGUAAGCAAGGGUUGUUACAUCCAGCAUGGAGUGGGUAAUUUGCAGAGUCACUAGAACAAUAAAUCAACCACCAGUCUAGUUAAUUAAUUAGAACUCGACGGGGGAGAUUUGACCAAUUAGCAAGGCAGUAAGCAAGGGUUGUUAGAUCCAGGAUGGAGUGGGUAAUUUGCACAGUUACUAGAACAACAAGUCAACCACUAAUCUAGUUAAUUAGAACUCGACGGGGAGAAAAUAUUGGGUUGUAUCGACCAUACAUGCAGGGUGCUGUUGCCAACAUCAGCGCCGCCGGCGGAGGCAGACAAAGGCCGGAAACGAAAAGGGAUAGGCUGACGGCCACCGUAGAUGAGCCUUGGCAUCAGCCGGCGACACUCAACCUCGACCAGCGGCGAGACGGCGGGCUUGUAAACCGCCUUGCCGCCGCUGAGCCUUCUGGCCGCGUGUCGAAUCGCCGCCGCCAUCGCCUUGUCUGCUGCCUGCGUUUCUUGCCGAUCUAGGGUUCGGUUCCUUUUUUUUUGUUUUGAGAUAAGUUGGAUUCCUCCUCUGCUUUUUUUUUUUGAGACAAGGGUUCCUCCUCUGCUUUUUUGAGGGUUCCGGACCGAACUGCCAGUACUCCCAACCCCACAGCCCAUUCUGUUGGUUGGUAAGUACGGCCCUGCUGGAGAUUUUUUUUUUGCUUCAACCAAAAAACGAGGUUUCAUUUAGCAACCCACGGCGAAUCUAUUCCCCCGCACAAGACAUCUACAUCUGGACUUAGCAAAUCCGGCCCUCUAAAUAUUCACGGAAGUGCCAGUUUGGACUUGUCUGUUUUAAGCCCCUAUUUGUCUGUCCAUGUAGCUAUACCUAUACACCUCUUUUUUUUUCUUAUAUAUGUCCGGUCACUCAUGUGAUUGAUGGAGAUGAAGAGGAGAGAAAAAAAAGUAAGAACAAAGAAAGAGAAAAGGUAGUCUAGGAUGGGUUAUGUCCUACGUAGCGGACUGACAUAGCGCUUAGUGGGCCCUCAUAUUCUCCUCGGAUUUGGUAUCAAUAUGGGGUUUCCGGAUAGUCCAGACGUAUACAGAUGAUGUGAGAAGCCUAAUUAAGUAAAAAAAAAAUCCAUCUCUCUCAUAUCUGGCCACUACCGAGCGCGUCUGCGGAUGUUUGAGGAGGCCGGCUGUAGAUGCUCGUGGCCACUAGUUUUAGGAAGGUUCUAAACCUUCCUUGAAUUUGGUUUUUCUUUUAUUUAUUCCAUUCAUCUUCUUUUUCCAUUUUUUAUUUUGUGAAUUUUUUGUAAUUCAGAUUUUUUUAAAAUGUGCCAACAAUUCUCAAAUUUGUGAAUAUUAAUUUCAUUUUGGAAUAUUUUUUGAAAUCAGAGAAGUUUCCCAAAUUCAUGAAUAUUUUUUGAAACUUGGGAACAUAUUCAGAUUUUUUGAAAUAUUUUCAAAAUCUGUGACCAUUUUUCAAUUCAUAUUUUUUGUGAAUCUGUAACUUUUUUAAAAUACGGGAACAUUUUUCAACUUGGGAACAAUUUUUGAAAUGUGGGCCCUCCUAUUCUCCUCGGAUUUGAUAUCAAUAUGGGGUUUCCGGACAGCCCAGACGUAUAUAGAUGAUAUGAGGAGUCUAAUUAAGUAAAAAAAUUCUAUCUCUCUCAUAUCUGGCCACUACCGAGCGCAUCUACGGAUGUUUGAGGAGGCCGGCUGUAGAUGCUCGUGGCCACUGGUUUUAGGAAGGUUCUGAACCUUCCUUGAAUUUGGUUUUUCUUUUAUUUAUUCCAUUCAUCUUCUUUUUCCAUUUUUUAUUUUGUGAAUUUUUUGUAAUUCAGACUUUUUUUAAAAUGUGCCAACAAUUCUCAAAUUUGUGAAUAUUAAUUUCAUUUUGGAAUAUUUUUUGAAAUCAGAGAAGUUUUCCAAAUUCAUGAAUAUUUUUUGAAACUUGGGAACAUAUUCAGAUUUUUUGAAAUAUUUUCAAAAUCUGUGACCAUUUUUCAAUUCAUAUUUUUUGUGAAUCUGUAACUUUUUUAAAACACGGGAACAUUUUUCAACUUGGGAACAAUUUUUGAAAUGUGGGCCCUCCUAUUCUCCUCGGAUUUGAUAUCAAUAUGGGGUUUCCGGACAGCCCAGACGUAUAUAGAUGAUAUGAGGAGUCUAAUUAAGUAAAAAAAUUCUAUCUCUCUCAUAUCUGGCCACUACCGAGCGCGUCUGCGGAUGUUUGAGGAGGCCAGCUGUAGAUGCUCGUGGCCACCGGUUUUAGGAAGGUUCUGUACCUUCCUUGAAUUUGUUUUUUCGUUUAUUUAUUCCAGUCAUCUUCUUUUUCCAUUUUUUAUUUUGUGAUUUUUUUGUAAUUCAGACUUUUUUUAAAUGUGCCAACAAUUCUCAAAUUUGUGAAUAUUAAUUUCAUUUUGGAAUAUUUUUUAAAAUCAGAGAAUGUUUUCAAAUUCAUGAUAUUUUUUGAAAAUUGGGAACAUAUUCAGAUUUUUCAACAUUUUCAAAAUCUGUGAACAUUUUUCAAUUCAUAUUUUUUGUGAAUAUGUAACAUUUUUUAAAAUACGGGAACAAUUUUCAAAAUCAUGAGUUUUUUAGACCAGGAACAAUCUUCAAAUUCCUAUUUUUGGAAAAUCCAAUUACAUUUUUCAAAUUCAUGAUUUUCUUAAUUCAAGACAUCUUCUGAAAUCCCAAUGAUUAGACCAAAGCCAACUCUAGUAGUAACUAAUGUAAAAAAUAAAAAAAUGCCAAUUUAAAUAUGGAUGCAACUAAACUCAAAGAUAUAUAAAACUAACACAUACGUCAAUUCACUUCCGAGUUACCUCCGAGGUAGCACUUUCUUUAUCGCCAUGUAGCUAGGCUUCGAUGCUCCAUUAAUUCGUCCACCCAUAUAUGAUAUAUCCCAAGAGAUAUCGACCCAAAGUGUAGUUCUUACUGCUGGUCGAGGUUCAGAGCACCUCAUAGCAAAGUUUAGUCAGAGACGUACUCGCUUCCGGUGCAUCCACAUCAUAUAAGUAAAUAGGUUCUUGCUCUCAAGCGAGAAAUGAUGCAUCAAGAACUUCAGGAGAAGGUCGCGUCCUUGAGUGUGCGUAACUUGCCAGUGCUGGUGGGUGGCGAUUUCAACUUAAUCCGAUCGGGAGCGGGUAAGAACAAUGGAAUCAUUAUCUGAACAAGGGUGUCCUUGUUUAAUAAUGCGAUAGCAUCUAUGGCCCUUAGGGAAGUGGCUCGCGUGGGCGCAUGCUACACCUGGACCAACAACAACAAGCAGCUAACGCCGGUGCGGUCUGUGCUAGAUCGGGUUUUCAUGUUCGCGGAGUGGGAAAUGUUAUUCCCCAUGUGCUCCCUCCACGCUGAAACAAGGAUUGGUUCGGAUCACAUCCCCUUAAUCCUGUCCUCAGGGGAGGAUAGGUUAAAGAGUAGUCCUCGUUUUUACUUUGAAACUACGUGGUUCGAGGUCCCGGAUUUUGAGCAAAUCUUCCUCUCCAAAUGGGAGACAUGCGUGGCCCGGAUCAGGCAAACGCGCGGGCCAAUGGAGUUUUGGAUUGCCGCAGGGGCGGGAAUGCGUGCGGCUCCCAAAGGUUGGGGGGCCAACCAGGGCCGCGAGGAUAAGCUGCUCCGAAUGCGUCUGACCGCAGACCUCGCCCGUAUGGACGUGGUUGCGGAUGCGCAGGGUUUCUCGGAACAAGACUGGGCCCAGCGCUAUGCGGUUGAAGCCCAAGUUGAGUCCCUCCUUAGGGCAGAGGAGGAGUACUGGCGUAGAUGUGGUGGCAUCAAGUGGGCGCUCAAGGGAGAAGCGAACACUAAGUAUUUCCAUGUGCACGCUAAUGGUAGACGCCGUAAGUGCGCCAUCCUGCGUCUGCAAUCCGAGCAGGGGCUCCUUUUGCGCCAACAGGAUAUCGUCCAUCACAUUUAUGAUUUCUACAUCCAACUGAUGGGCUCCAGGGAGGAGUCCCGUGCUUGGCUGCGGGCGGAUGUUUGGCAUCCUGCGUUGCGGGUCACGGACGAGGAGAAUGAGGGCUUGGGGCCGGCCUUCCUCCCCCACGAGAUUGAUGUGGCGGCUCUUGGGAUAAAAUCGGACACCGCACCGGGUCCGAAUGGGUGGCCGGUGGCGAUGUUUAAACGAUUUUGGCAAGUGCUUAAAGGGCCAAUUUUGACGUUCUUAAUGGGUUCAUGCGUGGUAGUGUAGAUAUCUCUCGCUUGAACUUUGGGGUUCUAUCUCUGAUCCCCAAAGUACAGGGAGCGGACUGUAUUAGACUUUUUCGACCGACAACACUCAUUAACGUCCCGUUUAAAAUCUGCUCUAAGGCUUGUUCCACGCGCUUGUCUCUAAUAGCUCACCGUAUUAUUAGUAGGAACCAAUCAGCUUUUAUUCGUGGUCGCAACAUUUUGGAGGGGCCGUUGGCCCUUCAAGAGAUCAUUCACUCGCUCAAACGCACUCGACAGCCUGCCAUUCUUUUGAAAUUGGAUUUUGAGAAGGCGUACGACCGAGUGAACUGGGAGUUUCUUCGACAAGUCCUCCUGGACAGAGCAUUUUUGUCGGUUUGGGUUCACCACAUGAUGCAAUUGGUCUCGGGCUAAACGGAGAUUGCGGUGAAUGGAGAAGUAGGGAACUUCUUCUGCAACAAGCGUGGGCUGCGUCAAGGGGACCCGGCCUCGCCGUUGCUCUUUAACUUUGUGGCAGACGCCCUGGGCGCCAUGCUAGACAAAGCUCGUAUUGCGGGCCACAUCAGGGGAGUGGUCGGCAAUUUGAUCCCAGCUAGGCAUGUCACACCUUCAGUACGCUGAUGACACUCUUCUCCUUUUCGAGCCGGACCUACACAGUAUCGCAACGGUCAAGGCCAUUCUUCUUUGCUUUGAGCUUAUGGCUGGGCUAAAAAUAAACUUUCACAAAUGUGAAGUGGUGUCCAUAGGGAUGGAUGCGGCUGAAAGCCUGCGGGUAGCCAAUUUGCUUAAUUGCAAACUGGGAAAACUACCUUUCACCUACCUCGGCCUCCCGAUCGCAGAGAAAAAAUGCUCGAUUGCCGAUUGGGAACCUCUUAGCACUAAGGUGGCACACAGGGUUUGCCCGUGGAGAGGUCAUUUUAUGUCUUCGGGGGCUAGACUUAUCUUAACUAAUUCCAGCCUCUCGUCCCUGCCUAUGUUUGCCAUGGGUCUGUUCUUGCUGGCUGACGGGGUCCACACCAAAAUGGACACUCCGCGGGCCUAUUUCUUUUGGGAAGGAGCGGGACCGAAGCGUAAAUAUCAUAUGGUUAAAUGGCAGGCCGUUUGUAGACCUAAAGCCCGGGGGGCCUCAGGAUCAUCAACUCUAAGUUGAUGAAUAUUGCACUCAUGUGCAAGUGGAUCUGGAAGCUGUCUCAGGGAGAGACCGGCCUCUGGAUGGACCUCCUACGUGCCAAAUACUUCCGUGAGGGGAAUUUCUUUGAGGCAGCAUCCCAUGGAUCUCCUUUCUGGAACUCCAUCCAAUCCCUAAAACCGUUCUUCGCCAGGGGCGCGAGGUUUUAGGUUAAUAAUGGACGCUCCACGCGUUUCUGGCACGACACUUGGAUAGGCCAACAACCUCUUUGGUCGGAGUUCCGCCAACUAUACUCCAUCACUGUCCAGCCCAACCAAUUGGUUGCUUCGGCUCUAAGCUCCUGCCCGCCCCCUAUCCACUUUAGAAGGGAGCUCUCGGGGCCUGAGAGGGAGGAUUGGGAUCGCCUUCGGGCUAAGAUAGCGGACGUGCGCUUAUCAAACAACACGGAUACGGUGUCCUGGAGGCUUUCGGGCUCUGGCAAAUUUACUGUCAAUUCCCUAUAUAGAGAGCUGUCCCGAGGCCACGUCCCUAUGGCUGCCUCGGGGCUUUGGAAGGCUCGAAUUCCUCUCAAUAUCAAGGUUUUCCUCUGGCAACUUUGUCAAGACCGCCUCCCUACUUCAAUAAAUAUAGCCAAACGCAAUGGCCCGGCCUCCGGGCCUUGUGCUUUGUGUGGUGUCCUGGAAGAUGCUGACCACGUGUUCUUCUGGUGCUCUUUGGCGCGCUUUGCCUGGAGCGCGGUCCGCAAGGCCGUGGGUGUGGAUUGGGAUCCACGCUCCCGCCCCAAGCUCGUGUCGUCUUUGUCCUUGGUCCAGGGUUCUUCGCGCCGUGUUAUGUGGACAAGUGCGGCGGCCAUGUUGUGGGCUUUGUGGCAUAUUCGUAACAAGUUUACAUUGAGGGUGUGUUCCCCUCUCACCCCGCUGACGUAAUCUACAAAUGCAUCUUGUUCUUGCAGCAAUGGGCCCCGCUGGGAAGACAACAAGACUCUGAUCUGCAUCUCCUUGCUCUUGCAUGCCUUCGCUCUGUCUACUCCGCGCCGCGAGCCCCGUCGCCUCCUUCCGCUGCCUCAUAGGGAUGGGUAGCCCCUUUUGGAAGUGUUUCCUCCGAGCCUGUGUGCUCCUAUGUUGGCUGGACACGCCAUGUAAUGCACUUUAUUCCUUCGCCGUUUCCUCUUGUGGUGUGUCUGAGACCCCGGAAGACUAGUUUGUUUGUGUUUGUUGGUCGUUUGGUUGUGCACGCCGCCUAUGUUGAGGGCUUUAUUAAUUUAAAACCGGACGUCCCUGACGUCUAUGUUUUAAAAAAACGAUGCACCAAGCAUCGUGGGCAUGUCUCCUCAUAUAUCUGCGACAAAAGGGUUAGAGAAAUGUGGCACAAGCCAAGAAAAAGAAAACCAAGCGAGUCAAGCGCAAAGCUGGAGAAAGUAUUGAUCAGCCGUCAGCGAGGAAGAUCUCUGCAUCAGAGAAUCUAUGUCGUGAUAUGAUUGUAGUUGGCACGAAGGAUGACCCUCUGGACUGGAGAAGUGUGCCCCUUAAACAAAUGUAGAGCAGAAGGCUCCUGAAGAAGUUGCUCAACCGGAGCAGUGUGCUCCAAAUGAGGAAGCUGUCGCUAGUGAUUCCCAGAAGAAAAAGCUCCUAAUAAGAAAGAUGCCUCGGCAAAACCUCGUUCUCCAUAAGAAAUCCCUGUGGAUGAAGCACUUGAGAAUGCAGGAGCACUUGAUUCUCCCUCUAGACAUGCUUUCAUUCCCUCUGUCAGUCCCUUUGUGGAUGUUGAAGAAGAAGAAGUGGAGCCUCAUACUCCGAAAGAGAAACAAGAUGAUGUUGUUCCAUCUCAGCCAAGUGCAUAGCCCAGAUAGUUGCAUAAAAGGCCCUAGUGCUUUCCCCCGAAGAUGAUGCUCAAACGAUUGCUACCGAAAAAUCCUCUAAGUCCGCAGUGGCUGCCUCGUUUGUAGUCAAUUCUCGAGGAGGAAGAAGCAGAAAUUGCUGCUAGCACUGAAGAGGAAGUUCUCCCACGCUAUCCCAAGCAGAAACUGCCGAAGUUUGAUUCUUGGAGAUCUCCUUGUACUUUAAUUCAACAUGCUGCAACACAAGGCAAAACUUACUUACUUCAGAGAAAGCCCAUAUGAUGGUUAUCGCACAUCUCAAUCUGCUUGGUUCUGGAGCAAUGACAUCUCUUGAUGGAUCCUGCUAUUGCUGGAGAUAUUGCCAAGCCAAUGCGAAAGUGAAUGACCUGGCGUAUAUCAACACAACUUUCUAUCCGAUAAUGAGCAAAACUCUCUAUCCCAAGACGGGAACUCACUCUGAGGACUUAAUCAAAGGGAUAGUUGAAGCUCUCUUUUCUGGUCCUUUAUUGAGUUUGACAACAUAUGUGCGUCUCUCCGCUGCUUGAAAGCACAUAGUGUUGGCGGCCCGGCGUUCAGGAAAUCCCUCUCAUAGCAUGGGAUGAUCUGGCGGCAAAAAAAUAUAAAAAGGGAUGAAACAACACAUGGAUGAGGACUAAAAAAACAUGGAACUAAAUGGGGAAAAUGAGAAUUCCCAUAGAUUGGAUGUUUUGAAUCCCUACACUAGAAAAUCACCAAAUGAUGUGCUGGUUGCAUCCUUGUUUGCGCAUGAGGUUUUGCAAACUGUGCGUGCCAUCUAUGCACUUUUUUUUAAAGUUAUAUAGUUCUUUUUUUUUAGAAAAGGAGGAAGACCACGCCUCUGCAUCUGGACGAUGCAUACAGCCAUUUUAUUAAUUAUUAACACACGUUACAAAGUCAUACAACAGUAAGACUAAAGCCACAGUCUAAUCAACAUUUGUCGCUACUCCUAUCCAGUUGAUGAAGGGGCGCUCAUAGUCUGGGCCUAAUAACAAACAGACCUUGCAGACAAAGCUAACAUCUAAGACCAGAGGUCCCAACCAGGACGCCUGCCGGGUUUGGGCACCCACCAGUCCGGCGUGCUCCUCAACCAGGACGCAUGUCGGGUAUGAGGCCGCUGCAACCACCCGCCACCAAUCCAUCUCCAGAGCUAUACUGCUGCAUCUACCUUGCCCGGUUUAGCUGCCACCACGAGCCAGACAACGUCACCCUCCUGCUCGAGUCCAUCUCCGCGCAUCGUGCGUCGAGUCUCCAUGCGCCAAGCCGCGGAGAUCCGCCGUCAUCAAUUGGCAAGAUAAAUCAUCGCUCCUCCUCUUGUCCCCUCCAACCAGCACUUGCUCCAAAACGAUGCCCCCAAGAGGGAGAACGACAUCGAAGGCGCCGUCAUCGUCCGAUCCGGUAGACCCAGAUCUAGGGUUUUCCCUGGAACUACCCGAUCAGGUGGACGUGACCUGCAACGACGAUGCCUCAAGAAGGCAACGACGUCCGAGACGCCGCCAUCGUCCGCAAAGACCGCAUUUAGGUGCGAUUUUCAUCGGAAGCCACGUCGUCCCAAUCUCGUGGCUGGCUGGAACCUAGCGGAACAUCGCCAUGAAGACAUAUGGUGCCAUCGGAAAGCCGGUUGAGGACCUCCGACUGCCCCACCCCGGCCCCAUCACGCGCCGCCGGCCGGCCAUAGCCGAACCACGACGGCUGGCCGGGACGCUAGAUCCAUGGCCACUGCCGCUGCCCCUCGCAUAGCGGAGAAUCCCAGCGGAGGACCUCGCCAGCCCUGGGUUCGCCGGCUGUCGCCGCACAGCCAGGACGCCGCCGUGGCUGCCGCGCAAAGACCCUGCACGAGGCGCCCCGGCCGCCUGAUAGGAGAUCCGUCGCUUCCCUCAUGCCCUAGCCCUUUAGGCGUCGGGCGCCGCCACCACCUCGGCCAGUGCCGGCGGCAGCGGCGGCAGAGAUCUACCUCUCGGGAAGGCUGCCGGCGCGAGGACUUAGGUCCCCCUGGCGUCGCCCUGGGUGGCGGCGCGAGGGGGUCGCGAGGAUAUGCCAAUUACAUUUAAAUGACUAAUAAUAACAGUUAAAACACACAUACACACACACAAAUUGAGAAUGUUUAUGAAAAUAAAGGAGUGAAGUUAAAGUCUAAGUGGUAAACGAUAAAAAGCAAAAAUAUCCAAGGCCAAAAAUGAUCAUUUGUUGUAAUAUCAGGUCUAAUACAGUGGUUCAAUUCAUAUUUAAUCGGAAAAUGUAUGUAUCAUAAAAAAUGCAAAGAGAAGGGCAGCACCGAAGGGUUUGAAGAAAUCGAAUGAAGAUAACCUGAUAUUGUUUCGUCUAGAAUGAAAAAUGCUGCAAUAUACAAGAAUCUGGAGCUCUCUUCACCAAGUUUGCACCAAUUAUUUUUUGCUCUCCAAUUCCACAUCAUAGAUUGCCAUUUGAUUAAGGUCUCGAGCUUCUGUAAAAGAGUGUUGUCAACAGGCAUUUUCUUUCCUCAAUGGCAUCCAGGUAAAAAAAGUACUACCUCCAUCCAAAAAUAAGUGCCCCAAACUUAAUACAAAUUUGUGCUAAACUUAGUAUAAAGUUGAGACACUUAUUUUGGGACGAAGGGAGUAAGAUACUGAAAACUAGCUGGAGAGAAAAAAGAAGUCAAAACAAGAGUGAGAUACAGAAGGAGAGAAUUAAAAAACCUAAGGAAAAGAACAUAGUUUAGCUAUCUAGCAGUCACCAGACCUACAUUUUUUUUGCGCAUAAGUCAGCAGACCUACAUUUACAUUUUUUAAACUAAUUACUGAAAAAGGUGAUUGCCAAACAGAGAAACAAAGAACUGAACAUUAAACUAACAAACAGAGAAAAUUGAUCUUGUCUCGAUGGUCAAUGAAUAAUGAAGAAGAACGGUUGAAAAACUGAGGAUGAUCAAAAAAUGGCUUAAAGGGGAGACUGAAGACUAUAGAUAAAUAACUAUGGAUGCUACCUGAGAAAUGAACUAAGGAAGAAGGACUGAUGAAUGACAUUGCAUUAGUAGAAAACAGGGCUUUGGUUGAGGCCUGGGUAAGGGCAUUAAUCCCGGUUCGCUCACGAACCAUUGGUCCCGGUUCGUUCGACCCCUUUGGUCCCGGUUCCAGACACGAACCGGGACCAAUGGGCCUCGCUCCUGGACCAACACCUUUAGUCCCGGUUGGUGGCUGGAACCGAGACCAAAGGUCAGUCUUUUGUCCCGGUUCUAGCCACAAACCGGGACUAAAGAGAAGCCCAUAUAUACCCCCGCAAACAAAGCCACUGCUCUGUUUUUCUGACCGGCCGUGGGAGAGGCGUGUGGUGCUCUAUCUCACCUCCUAUGCACAUGAGGUGUUCGAUGAAAUGCCCGAGCCACACUUAAGCUUUCUCCUCUCGAAGCUCCUUGUCCAAACUCCAUUUUCCUCAAGAUUUGUCUAGGUUUGGCGGUCCGUCCUGUCCCGUCCCCGUCCACAUCACCGUCGAGCGUCCGCGCCGAUCUCGUCAUCGGCACCACCCUGGUGAGCUUCUUGUUCUUAUCUUCUUUCUAAAAGAAAAUAAAUUCUUAUUUGUAUGAUUUAGACAGAUACUUUUAUAAUUCUCUUACUUUUAUUAUUUUUUGUUAUUAUAUAGUGCGAUGGUUUUGGUAUCCGCCCCCGUCGGCCCUCGUCCUGUCUAUGAUUCAUAUGUGGUUUAUAUUAUCUUUUAUAACUAUUUGUUUCAUUUAGUGUUUAUGACAAUUAUGCCGAGUAACGAGACAUAGAUGUUUUUAUCUAGGAGGUAUGUGAACCGGAAAUUCCAACCGACCCUCUUGUCAAGAGGAUAAAUUUAGUUGAAAACGAAAAAAAUUACUUGAAGAAAAAAAUUGAAAAGAAUUGGGGAGGAGAAGAUGAAAUUGGAGUUGCAUGUUGCGGAUGUCGUCGAUGAUUGAUACGUCUCCAAUGUAUCUAUAAUUUAUGAAGCAUUCAUGCUAUUUUAUUAUCUGUUUUGAAUGUUUACGGGCUUUAUUAUACACUUUUAUAUUACUUUUGGGACUAACCUAUUAACCGGAGGCCCAGCCCAUAUAGCUGUUUUAUUGCCUAUUUCAGUGUUUCGAAGAAAAAGAAUAUCAAACGGAAUGAAACCUUCGGGAGCGUUAUUUUUGGAACAGAAGCGAUCCAGGAGACUUGGAGUUGAAGUAAAGGAAGCUUCGAGGUGGCCACGAGGGUGGGGGGUGCGCCCCCCUACUGGGCGCGCCCCCUAUCUCGUGGCCCCCUCGAGGCUCCGCCGACCGCUUAUUUUGCCUAUAUAUUCCCAUAUACCCUAAAAACAUCGAAGGACAAGAUAGAUCGGGAGUUCCGCCGCCGCAAGCCUCUGUAGCCACCAAAAACCUCUCGGGAGCCCGUUCCGGCACCCUGCCGGAGGGGGGAUCCCUCACCGGUGGCCAUCUUCAUCAUCCCGGCGCUCUCCAUGAUGAGGGAGUAGUUCACCCUCAGGGCUGAGGGUAUGUACCAGUAGCUUUGUGUUUGAUCUCUCUCUCUCUCUCUCUCUCUCGUGUUCUUGAGGUGAUACGAUCUUGACGUAUCGCGAGCUUUGCUAUUAUAGUUGGAUCUUAUGAUGUUUCUCCCCCUCUACUCUCUUGUAAUGGAUUGAGUUUUCCCUUUGAAGUUAUCUUAUCGGAUUGAGUCUUUAAGGAUUUGAGAACACUUGAUGUAUGUCUUGCCGUGCUUAUCUGUGGUGACAAUGGAAUAUCACGUUAUCCACUUGAUGUAUAUUUUGGUGAUCAACUUGCGGGUUCCGCACACGUUUCCUAUUGACUCUCCGGUAGAAACUUUGGGGCACUCUUUGAAGUACUUUGUGUUGGUUGAAUAGAUGAAUCUGAGAUUGUGUGAUGCAUAUCAUAUAAUCAUGCCCACGGAUACUUGAGGUGACAUUGGAGUAUCUAGGUGACAUUAGGGUUUUGGUUGAUUUGUGUCUUAAGGUGUUAUUCUAGUAUGAACUCUAUGAUAGAUUGAACGGAAAGAAUAGCUUCACGUUAUUUUACUACGGACUCUUGAAUAGAUAGAAUAGAAAGGAUAACUUUGAGGUGGUUUCAUACCCAACAAUAAUCUCUUCAUUUGUUCUCCGCUAUUAGUAGCUUUGGAGUGACUCUUUGUUGCAUGUUGAGGGAUAGUUAUAUGAUCCAAUUAUGUUAUUAUUGUUGAGAGAACUUGCACUAGUGAAAGUAUGAACCCUAGGCCUUAUUUCCUAGAAUUGUAAUACCGUUUACGCUCACUUUUAUCAUUAGUUACCUUGCUGUUUUUAUAAUUUCAGAUUACAAAAACCUAUAUCUACCAUCCAUAUUGAACUUGUAUCACCAUCUCUUUGCCAAACUAGUGCACCUAUACAAUUUACCAUUGUAUUGGGUGUGUUGGGGACACAAGACACUCUUUGUUAUUUUGUUGCAGGGUUGCUUGAGAGAGAGCAUCUUCAUCCUACGCCUCCCACGGAAUGAUAAAACUUAGGUCAUCCACUUGAAGGAAAUUUGCUACUGUCCUACAAACCUCUGCACUUGGAGGCCCAACAACGUCUACAAGAAGAAGGUUGUGUAGUAGACAUCAAUGAUCACAAGAUCAAGAUGGAUGCGAUGUGCUUGAAGAUUAGAAAGAUUAGAAAAUAUGCCAUUCUUACUGAGGCUUGGUAUCAUUAUGCCGUUGGAUCAAUUGUUACCUUAGUUUCGAUUAUGAUCGCUUUUGUUGUUGCAUUAAAUAUUUUACAUAGUUUCAAUAUAUGUUUUAAUUAGAUGCUCUAGAGAGUUAUAUGUUGUUCAAUGAGAACUACUCCCUCCGUCCCAAAAUUCUUGUCUCAGAUUUGUCUAAAUACGAAUAUAUCAAAUCACGUUUUAGUAUUAGAUACAUCAGUAUCUAGAAUAAUCUAAGACAAGAAUUUUGGGAUGGAGGGAGUAUGUAUGAACUUAAUGUGAUGAUGAACUUCUACUAAUUUGGUCACUUCUCUAUUCAUGAUGUUCUGUAAUGGAUUUUGACACACUUAUUUAUAUAUAAUGCAUGCAGAUGUACCGACAAUGGAUGUACGGUGACAGACGCACCUCCGAGUACAUUAUGGGCGUGCAUAAUUUUCUCGAAGUGGCUGAGGCAAAGAAGCAAAAUGGUUUUAUGUGUUGUCCAUGCCCUAGAUAUGAGAAUACAAAGUCCUACCCUGACUCGAAAACAUUUACAUCCACCUGCUUGAGAAGGGUUUCAUGCCACACUAUAGUAUUUGGACCAAGCACAGAGAAAGAGGGGUUAUGAUGGAAGACAAUGAAGAAGAAAAGGAUGAUGACGACUAUCCGCCCUCUGAAUACGGUGAUGCUGCAACGGGGGAAGCUAAAAAUCAAGAGGAACCAGACGAUGUGCCCGAUGAUGAUCUUCGCCGGGUCAUUGUUGAUGCAAAGAGACAAUGCCAAAGUGAAAGGGAGAAGUUGAAGUUCGAUCGCAUGUUAGAGGGUCACAAAAAAGGGUUGUACCCAAAUUGCGAAGAUGGCAACACAAAGCUCGGUACCACACUGGAAUUGCUGGAAUGGCAGGCAGACAAUGGUGUAUCUGACAACGGGUUUGAGAAGCUACUGAAAAUAUUGAAGAAGGAGCUUCCAAAGGAUAACGAAUUGCUCGAUAGUACGUACGGAGAAAAGAAGGUUCUAUUCCUUCUACGAUUGGUGGUGCAGAAGAUACAUACAUGUCCUAAUGACUGCAUCCUCUACCGCGGUGCAUACGAGGAUUUGAACACAUGCCCGGUAUGCAGUGCAUUGUGGUAUAAAAUCGGAUGAGAUGACCCUAGUGAUGUUGACGGUAAGCGCCCCAGGAAGAGGGUUCCUGCCAAGGUGACGUGGUAUGCUCCUAUAAUACCAAGGUUGAAACGUCUGUUCAGAAACAAAGAGCAUGCCAAGUUGAUGCGAUGGCACAAAGAGGACCGUAAGAAAGACGGGAAGUUAAGAGCACCCGUUGAUGGGUCACAGUGGAGAAAAAUUGAGAGAACGUGGGGGGACUUUGUAGGUGACCCAAGGAACAUAUGGUUUGGUUUAAGCGCGGAUGGCAUUAAUCCUUUUGGGGAGCAGAGUAGCAAUCAUAGCACCUGGCCCAUGACCCUAUGUAUCUAUAACCUUCCUCCUUGGUUGUGCAUGAAGUGGAAGCUCAUUAUGAUGCCAGUGCUCAUCCAAGGCCCUAAGCAACCCGGUAACGAUAGUGAUGUCUACCUAAGGCCAUUAGUUGAAGAACUUUUAUAGCUAUGAAAUGGAAAAGGUGUACCUUUGUGGGAGGAACACGACCAGUAGGAAUUUGACCUACAUGCGUUGCUGUUUGUAACUAUCAAUGAUUGGCCUACUCCUAGUAACCUUUUAGGAUAGACAAAUAAGGGAUACCACACAUGCACAUACUAUUUAGAUGACACCGAAAGUAUAUAUUUGGACAAAUGCGGGAAGAAUGUGUACCUGGGACAUCGUUGAUUUCUUCCGACCAACCAUCAAUGUCGAAAGAACGGCAAGCAUUUCAAAGGUGAGACAGAUCACCGGAAGAAGACCGCCAUCCGUACUGGUGAUCACAUAGUUGAUAUGGUUAAUGAUUUACAUGUAAUCUUUGGAAAGGGUCCCGGUGGACUAUCUGUUCCGAAUGAUGCCGAGGGACGCGCACCCAUGUGUGAGAAGAAAUCUAUAUUUUGGGACCUACCCUAUUGAGGGAGUCCUGGACUGAGGGGUCUUCGGACAGCCAGACUAUAUACUUUGGCUAGACUAUUGGACUAUGAAGAUACAAGAUAGAAGACUUCGUCCCGUGUCCGGAUGGGACUCUCCUUUGUGUGGAAGGCAAGCUUGGCAAUUCGGAUAUGUAGAUUCCUUUCUCUGUAACUGACUUUGUAUAACCCUAGCCCCCCGGUGUCUAUAUAAACCGGAGGGUUUAAACUUCUAGGGUUCAGCCACAACAAUCAUAACCUCAUAGGCUAGACUUCUAGGGUUUAGCCAUUACGAUCUCGUGGUAGAUCAACUCUUGUAAUACUCAUAUUCAUCAAGAUCAAUCAAGCAGAAAGUAGGGUAUUACCUCCAUAGAGAGGGCCCGAACCUGGGUAAACAUUGUGUCCCCCGCCUCCUGUUACCAUUAGCCUUAGACGCACAGUUCAGGACCCCCUACCCGAGAUCCGCCGGUUUUGACACCGACAUUGGUGCUUUCAUUGAGAGUUUCGCUGCGUCGUCACCAGAAGGCUUGAUGGCUCCAUCAAUCAUCUACAACAACGCAAUCCAGGGGGAGAUCUUCCUCCCUGGAUAGACCUUCGUAUUCGGAGGCUUCGCAUUGCGGGCCAACUCGUUUGGCCAUCUAGAGCAGAUCGACAGCUACGACCCUGGCCAUCGGGUCAAAUUUGGAAGCCUGAAUUUCAUGGCCGAUAUCCACGGAGACUUGAUCUUCGAUGUAUUCAAGCCCAUGACGGCUGUCCCCGGCCACCACGAUGAACAUGACCUAUAUUUGUCAUCUGGCCGCACACAGGAGAUAGGGCCCGUGACCGCCCCUAGCCCUAGAGCCGGAGCGGACUGCAUCGUCCGAGGACGGGAAGCUUAACCCCGCCGCGGAGGCCGCAGACUCAACGAUGCUCGAGCAACACACAUACCCAACAUCAGGCUGGGCUUGUAUCAUCGAAACCACGAACUUGUCUCCGUCCAUGGUUUCCGGACCGCGUGCAUCCGCGUCCAUCGGUCCCGAUUGGGCGCCGGUCUUGGAGUUCAGCUCCGCAGACAUCUUUUAGCACUCACCUUUUGGCGACGUGUUAAACUCAUUGAAGUCCCUCUCCUUGUCAGGGAAUUCUCGGCCAAACUAUGUCCAGCUCGAAUGGGAAGCGGACGACGAAGAACUUCGUUUCCCACCCACCACCCACUUCAUUGCCACAGUUAAGGACUUAGCCGACACACUCGAUUACGGCUCCGAGGACAUCGAUGGUAUGGAUGACGAUGCCGGAGAGGAGCAGGCACAAAAACCACCACCUUUAGGGCAGUGGAUAGCUACAUCGUCAUACGAUAUAUACAUGGUGGACACACCAAAGGAGAAUGAGGCCGACGGCGAUAACAACAUGCCUGUCAAUGAACCUCCCAAGCGUCGGCGUCCCAAUCACCGACCUCGAUCUGGCAAAAAGAAAAACAACAACAUUGUCACGGACGCUGAUGAUAAUCCGAACCAAGCCAAGGACCCCGCAGACAUAGUGUUAGAUCAAGGCGUGCGAGAGGACGGCGAACACAGUCCGGAGAUGUUGUCCGAGCAUAGCGAUGCCGAAGAUAGCAAUUACCAACCUGUCUCUAAAGAGGACAUCAGCCUGGGCGACGACGAGUUCGUCAUCCCAGAAGAACCAUUAGAACAAGAACGCCUCCACCAAAGGCUUAUGGCCACUUCAAGGAGCCUAAAGAAGCAGAAGCAGCGGCUUAAAGCCGCACAUGAUACGCUCAAUGACAAAUGGAACGAAGUGCUAGACGCCGAGGAAAAAUACAGUGGUAAUCGCUAGACAAAUAGCUAUCCUAAACGUAGGCUGCUGCCCAAAUUCGAUGACGAGGCUAUUGCGCUCAUAUACCGCUGAAAAACAAUACGACCGAUAGGCCGGACCGACCACCUCGUGGUCGAGACAGAGCAGAUAGUAAUGCCGUACACAAGCCCGCACCCCCUUCCCGCAAAGGAAGGAAGGUCGUGGCCCAGGACCAGAAACAUGAUUUACGUGAGGACCUGGACAAAAUGGCUGGCAAAACCAGGUCCAUCUACGGAUCUAGGGAACGUGAUCCUACACGGGACCACAAUUAUCAAACAAAAUAUGCUAGCCAUUUACUAGCUUGGAACCAAUAAGGAACACUAUAACCGUCGGAUCCAAUCCAUGACAUAGCCAGAUACAGGGGUGCCGCACACCCCCUGUGCUUCACCGAUGAGGUGCUGGAACAUGAUUUUCCAGAAGGGUUCAAACCCAUAAAUAUCGAGGCGUAUGAUGGAACGACAGACUCUAUGGGUUGGAUAGAAGACUUUAUUCUUCACAUCCACAUGGCUCGCGGAGAUGAUCUCCACGCCACCAAAUAUUUACCCCUCAAGCUAAAAGGGCCAACUCGACACUGGUUAAAAAGCCUCCCUGAAAACUCCAUAGGAAGCUAGGAGGAACUUGAGGAUGCUUUUCGGGCCAAUUUCCAAGGGACCUAUGUCCGGCCCCCAGAUGCAGACGAUCUAAGUCACACAAUCAAACAACCCGAAGAAUCAACCCGUAAGCUUUGGAGCCUAUUUCUCACUAAGAAGAACCAAAUCGUCGACUGUCCGGACGCCGAAGCCUUAGCGGCCUUCAAACACAGUGUCCGGGACGAAUGGCUAGCCAGACACCUCGGCCAGGAAAAGCCAAGGACAAUGGCUGCCUUAACAACACUAAUGACCUGCUUUUGCGCAGGCGAAGACAACUGGUUAGCCCGUCGCAGCACCAGCGACCCCGGCACAUCCGAAGUCAGGGAUAGCAAUGGAAAACCACGACGCAACAAGAACAAAUGUCGGAACAAUGAAGAAAGCCCAGAAAACACAUCGGUUAAUGCCGGAUUCAAGGGCUCCAGACCCGAUCAACGGAAGAAGCCAUUUAAAGGCAACAAAGACAGUCCAUCGAACCAGGGUAAAAUCCUAGACAGGCCCUGCCAGAUCCACGGCACUCCCGACAAACCAGCCAAUCAUACCAACAGAGAAUGUUGGGUCUUCAAGCAGGCCGACAAACUCAAAGCCAAAAACAAAGGGAAGGGACCUCAGAGCAAAGACGAGGACAAACCUCGCUAGCCAAACACGGUGAACAGAAGAAAUUUCCACCGGAGAUCAAAACAGUUAACAUGAUCUAUGUCCCUCAUAUCCCAAAGCAGGAGCGCAAGCCCGCACUCCGAGAGGUCUAGACCGUUGAGCCCGUCUCCCCCAAGUUCAACCCAUGGUCGGCCUGUCCGAUCACCUUUGAUUGCAGGUAUCAUCCGACUAGUAUCCGUCACGGGGGUUCGGCUGCCCUAGUGCUCGACCCCGUAAUCGACGGAUACCACCUCACUCGAGUCCUCAUGGAUGGCGGCAGUAGUCUCAAUAUGAUAUAUCAGGACACUGUCCGCAAGAUGGGGAUAGACCCGUCAAGAAUCAAGCCAAGCAACACUACCUUUAAAGGAGUUAUACCGGGGGUGGAAGCCUGCUGCAUGGGCUCUAUAACAUUGGAUGUUGUAUCUCCUGACAACUUUCGAAGUGAAGAACUAAUCUUCGACAUAGCUCCGUUCCGAAGUGGCUAUCAUGCACUACUCGGAAGAACGGCCUUCGCCCGUUUUAACGCAGUCCCGCAUUAUGCUUAUAAAAACUCAAAAUGCCUGGACCACGUGGCGUCAUUACGGCCAGUGGAAAUACGGAGCACUCUCUUCGCAUAGAGGAAUACACGGCGGCUCUAGCAGUCGAAGCAAAAAAUGGCCUAUUCAAGCCGAACAGCUCAUCGGUCGUUAAAACCGCAGACACAGCUAAACAUGUCCGGCGCACACCUCAGUGUGGCAGCUCAGAUAAACCUGAGCUCGAUUAGCAGCUAUGCCCCCAUCAACCGCCCCAUAAGGAGAUAUACUCAAAAUUCCUUGGGCGGCUUCAGGGGCACUCUGCAUACAAAAGGUCCAUAGUUCGGCUUGACCCUAUUUGGACUCUAGAAGCUAUCCUUCACGGUUCAUUAAAACGAACCAGCUUUCCUUACGGCGACACCAGAUUCUUUUACCUGGUUUUUUCCUUUUUUCUUAUAGAUGGCCAUCAUAUUAUACCCUUCAAGUACACUUCACAACGGAGACAAAGGCACAGACGUGCAGCAGGGCCCCGCAUUAAGGUUUCUUUUUUAGAUUAAGACCCUGUGUAAAUAUUUUUUAUCUCUUGUUGUUUUAUACUUUCCUGGCAUGUAAAAUGUCCAAGAAAGGUACCAACAUUAUCUAUAAACACACGGCUCGCCAUACUAAAGGGGAUGUUAUAGAAGCAGCUUGGUUCGUAUUGUGUUUUGAGAUUUAUGUUCUCACCACCUACGCUCUUUCCCCACGUUGGAUUGCCAUAUGUGCCUUGACACCAGGGGUCUAUCACUAGGGGCUAUAUUCAGCCCGGUGUAUAUUGUAAAGUCCAAACACCUAUAGGGAGUGUUUGGCGUCGCGAGUUUGGCCUUAUAUGCAUCAGCUCCGAAUCAUGUCUUUGGUCAAUAGUUGGGUUGCCCGGAUCCUGUGCUUACUACCUUAUGUUCCGCUAUAUCUUCUAGGAUAGUAAAGGGAGAACUACUGCGAUUGUGUCCCGGCUAGCCCGGAUGAGCACCUCAAUAGAGAAAGCCGAAAACUGACUAUCAUGAUGCGACGAGAGCUGGUCAACCACUCGAUGACUUAUCGGAAUCUUCGCGAUUUCCUCCGUAUUAAACGAAGGACCGUCACUCUGGUCACGUAUGUAAACGCACCGUAUUCGGAUAACCGCGGACAUACCAGGGGCUAUAUAGUAGCCCCACCGUCAAACUCCUCUGGCUAAGUGAAAGUGUUAAAGCUCUAUAGUACGAUUUCCUAGUUCUCCGCACUAACACCUCCUUAAAGGACCAAGACGUUGGGUCAAGUGUGAUCAAGUGCUUUUCCGAACACCCCCGUGUAAAACGUGAGGGGGCUGAAGCCGACAACUGCAAACUUUUAGAUUGUAUAUAAAAAAGAUGGCCGCAUAGGAGGCACCAAAAAUUUUCAGGCAAAAAGUAUAAAACCACAGCCUUAAAUAUAUCAUAAUGUUGUUAUUACAAUUUUGAUACACUUUACUCGAACAUAAUAUUUUUUGAGCACUGACCCUCUAUUAAGCGGGCACCCUCUAGGACAUCUUCAAAGUAAUGUUCUAGCAUGUUAAGGUCCUUGCCUUCGGGUGGACUCUGCGCUGCAAUAUCGGUGGCCGUCAUCUUUGCCUAGUAUAUCUUGACACAGGCAAGGGCCAUCCGUGCACCUUCUAUGCAUGUUGAGCACUUCACGGCAUCGAUACGCGGCACCGCAUUGACAAGCUGCCGCAUCAAACCGAAAUAACUAUCCGGAAUGGGUUUAGUUGGCCACAGCCGGGCUAUGACGUCCUUCAUGGCAGUGCCGGACAUCUUGUGGAGCUCGGCCCAUCGGGCCAUCUGUUUGUUCAACAGUGGACGCUUCGGCGUAUCAAAUUGCGACCAAAACAAUUUUUCCGUUGCAUGUCCUUCUUGCGCGUGAAAAAACUGAUUCACAUCUGCGACACUCUUCGGCAAGUCCAUAAAGGGGUCCGGAGAACUCCACCGUUGAAUAAGCGGCGCAUACUUCGGAUCGCCAAACUUAGUUUGCAAUAAAAAAGGGCUUACCAGCCGCGAUCUCCCCAGCUUGUUGGAUCUCCUCCCGAGCUGCUCUAGACUCAGACUGGGCUUCCUUCACCUCUUGUAAGGCCUUAUCCAGAUCGGCCGCUUUUGCUUUGUUAUCUUUCUCAAGAUCUUGGCAUCGGCUAGUGGCAUUCUUCAACUCAAGUGCCACGGUAGAUAUCCUCUCCUCGCACUGACGCCGACCAGUCUGCUCGACUUUUAAUUCGGCGGCUACCUUUUCGGCAGCCGCAUUACUAAUCUUGGCUUGCUCCUUGGCCCGGGCAAGUCCCGCCCAAAGGGUCUCAACUGCGGCGGCACUAUCUGCAGUUAUGCAUAUACAAAUUUUCAGUAUCAUGCUCAUUUCACAAUACUAGCAUGUACUGAGUGCCCCAGAGACAUACCUUGCACCUCGUCGAGUCGCCUGUUCAUAAGCGUGUUGUCAUCAUCUGCCACAUCAACUUUCUGCUUCAAAUGUGCUACCUCGAUAGCUUGGGUAGUCCCCACGAAUAUAACAACCUAUGUUUCAAUUAGUCAUAUCAUUUCCUGGGCAUAUAUCGAUGAUCCUCUGAUCGCAUUCCUUUGGAUGUCAACCAGAGUCUCGGGGGCUACUAUCUAUACACAGGUGCAAUUUAUAUAAUUAAAAUUACACUACGUACCUCAAAGCCUCUUAGUAGGCUAGAAAAGGCUUCAUUCAAUCUGCUUUCUGCGGACCGAACUCUUUCCAACACCGUACCCAUCAAGGUACGAUGUUCCUCUGAGACGGAGGCAUGUUGCAAAAUGUCCAUCAAUGCAUCCUGCGUCCCUUGGACAUUUGAUAGUCCGGGACUUUUGUUGUUUCCUGUAGGGGCCGCACACCCCGGACCCUGGGCGGCCGAAGUAUUACCUUCGGCCCCGGUCCUCACUGUCCCUUGCGCCACUUGCAGAUCGGGAAGGAUCCUCCGGGACGACACCUCAGCAUCGCCUGCCUUAUCAGGCAGGGAGGUCUGUGGAGGCGUCUCGCUCUCCAUCAUCUCCAGAAGUAGAUCCCCAGAAGAGGAGGACUGUUGAGGAGGGCUGCGUGCUGGACUGCAAACAUGAGUUUAAAAUAUCACCCUUAUAGCCAGGAAAGAAAGGGACAUGUUUAAAAUACCCGGAUUCACUUACGAUGCGCCUGAGGGCCUAUUUUGCAGGGUGACUGCAUGUCAACAUCACCCCCUGACUGGGAUACCUUCCCCCUCUUACAAGCUUCUCUUUUCAAGUCUUCGGAGACGGCCCUUUUCUUCCCAUGGGGAGAAGAGGCGUCAGUUCGCCCUUCCCUUCCACCUUUGGAAGCGGGAGUUCUAAUCUCCCCGAAUGAAUUGCCUAGUGAGCCUCCAGAGUGGAAGCUGCCUUGGGCCUCUUCGUCCUCCUCUUUAUCUUCCCCCGCCGGCACUUGAUACGGCACCGGAGCAAACAUCCUUGUUAAUAACGGAUCAACAGUGUCUUGGGGAAGUGGAGCCGAACACCUGAUUCUCUCUGCCUUCUUUAGCUAGCCCUGGCCGGAUAGAGUUUUAUCAGUACAUUGUCAUGAAUAAUUUGACUAAAUCAUGUUUGGGGGUCGAGUACUUACCGGAGUAUUUAGAUGGUUGCAGUCAAGACCGAUGUCUUCUGUAGUAUCCGGCCACUGUUUUCGUGCGCCGAAGAACAAUUUCCACAUCUCUCUGAGCAUCAUGCCAGAAAGGUGCUGACGGGUCCGUGGACCUUCCGGAUUAAACUCCCACAUGCGGAGAGGGCGUCGCUGGCAGGGUAGGAUCCAGCGGACUAACAUUACUUGGAUUACAUCAAUGAGACCGGUGUCCUUCUCAAUGAGGCUCCGGAUGCGGCUUUGUAGUGUCCACACUUCAUCUGUAGAUCCCCAGUCCAGCCCCUUGUUAAUCCACGAUGCGAGCUGUGGCGGAGGGCCGGACCGAAACGCAGGUGUGGCUGCCCACUUUUUACCGCAGGGUUCGGUGAUGUAAAACCACUCCCGUUGCCAUAAGUCAGAAGAUUAUGCAAAGGGGACCUUUGGCCAAGUGGAGUUGAUAAGCUUGCUUAUUGAAGCGCCUCCGCACUCCGCUUGUUUCCGGUCGAUUACCUUCGGUUUCACGUUAAAGGUCUUAAGCCAUAAGCCGAAGUGUGGGGAAAUACGGAGGAAGGCCUCGCAUGUGGUGAUGAACACUGAAUGUGGAGGAAGGAGUCUGGGGCUAGAUCGUGGAAAUCUAGCCCGAAAUAAAACAUGAACCCUAGAAAUGAAGGGAUGGAGAGCAAACACAAGCCCUCGAAGGAAGUGAGAGAUAAACACGACCCUCUCAUUGGAUCUGGGAGUAGGAAUAACCUGCCCUUGAGCAGGAAGCCCGUGGUAGAUUUCCGUAGUCAAGUAUCUGGCCUCCCUAAGCUUCAAGAUGUCUUCCUCUGUGACAGAAGAGGCCAUCCACCAGCCCUGAAGGCCGGGUCCGGACAUGGCUGGAAGCUCGAAGCGACUAGAUUGACCCUUGGGUGUUGGAACUUGAGGUGGGGGGUGGAGGAAAGAACUAGCAUUGAAGAAAACGGACAAGGCUUAAACCCAUUUAUAAAGGCGACGAAUAUCAAGCGUCCCCUCCAUGGCCUUAAAACAUGCCUAUUCCCGAGGAAUUAUGCCAACAAAACGGUUGGGUUACCCACGCCCAUGUUGAUGAAAAUCCCAUAAUAAGGGGACACGAUCUCUGCUUUGACAAGACGUGCCAAUAAAAACCGCCAACCGAAGCGUGGGGUAGCAGGCUAGAAAACGAUUCAAAAUAAUGGCCGAGUAAUGACGCAAUGUCGUACUACCAAAUUUGUCAGCGAAUUGGAAUUGUAAAUAUUAUACUCUCUACGGUGGUUUGUAGAACUUGUUUUGCAGAGCCGGACAUGAUUCUUGUGUUCGAGAUCUACUUUGAAGUAUUCAGAGAAGGAACCCGCCUUGCAAUGCCGAAGACAAUCUACGCGCAGGACUCAUCGUCAUUGAAGCCUGGUUCAGGGGCUACUGAGGGAGUCCUGGACUAAGGGUUCCUCGGACAGCCGGACUAUAUACUUUGGCUGGACUAUUGGACUAUGAAGAUACAAGAUAGAAGACUUCGUCCCGUGUCCGGAUGGGACUCUCCUUUGCGUGGAAGGCAAGCUUGGCGAUUCGGAUAUGUAGAUUCCUUUCUCUGUAACCGACUUUGUAUAACCCUAGCCCCCCCGGUGUCUAUAUAAAUCGGAGGGUUUAGACUUCUAUGGUUCAAUCACAAGAAUCAUAACCUCAUAGGCUAGACUUCUAGGGUUUAGCCAUUACGAUCUCGUGGUAGAUCAACUCUUGUAAUACUCAUAUUCAUCAAGAUCAAUCAAGCAGGAAGUAGGGUAUUACCUCCAUAGAGAGGGCCCGAACCUGGGUAAACAUUGUGUCCCCCGCCUCCUGUUACCAUUAGCCUUAGACGCACAGUUCGGGACCCCCUACCCGAGAUCCGCCGGUUUUGACACUGACACCUAUUGGAAAGACCUAGAGGUCCGCUCUGCAAUCGACGUGUUGCACGCGAUGAAGAAUCUUUGCGUGAACCUGCUAGGCUUCUUGGGCAUGUAUGGGAGGACAAAAGAUACACCGGAGGCAUGGGAGGACCAGCAAUGUGUGCACGAAAAAGAUGGCAUGCAUCCAAAGCAGUAUGAAGGGCCUGCCAGCUACGCUCUUACCAAAAAAGAGAAGGAAAUCUUCUUUGAAUGUCUACUUAGUAUGAAGGUCCCGUCUGGCUUCUCGUCACAUAUAAAGGGAAUAAUAAAUAUGGUAGAGAAAAAGUUCCAGAACCUAAAAUCUCAUGACUGCCACGCGAUUAUGACGCAACUGCUUCCGGUUGCAUUGAGGGGGCUUCUACUGAAAAAUGUUCGAUUAGCCAUUGUGAAGCUAUGUGCAUUCCUCAAUCCAAUCUCUCAGAAGGUAAUCGAUCCAGAAAUCCUACCAAGGUUAAUGAGUGAUUUGGUGCAAUGUCUUGCCAGUUUCGAGCUGGUGUUCCCACCAUCCUUCUUCAAUAUCAUGACGCACGUUCUAGUUCAUCUAGUCGACGAGAUUGCCAUUCUGGGCCCUAUAUUUCUACACAAUGUGUUCCCCUUUGAGAGAUUCAUGGGAGUCUUAAAGAGAUAUGUUCAUAACCGUGCUAGGCCAGAAGGAAGCAUCUCCAUGGGCCAUCAAAUAGAGGAGGUCAUUGGGUUUUGUGUUGACUUCAUCCCUGACCUUAAGCCGACUGGUCUCCCUCAAUCGCAGUAUCUGGGGAGACAGACUGGAAAAGGCACGCUAGGAGCAGACUCAAUAAUAUGUAGGGACGGGCAUUCUUGGUCUCAAGCACACUACACAGUUCUACAAAAUUCUACCUUGGUGACCCGUAUGUCAAUGAACACAAGAAUAUUCUGCACUCCAAUCACCCGGAGCAGUGUGACAACUGGAUUACAUGUAAACACACAAGACUUUCAGCAGUUGGUUGCAAACACAUCUCAUGGGUGACAACACUGUUGCAGAUGAGCUAUACUCAUUGGCCAGGGGACCAUCUUCGACUGUAUUGACUUACAAAGGGUACGAGAUAAAUGGGAAUACAUUUUACACGAUCGCCCAAGAUCAAAAGAGCACCAACCAAAACAGUGAUGUCCGCUUUGAUGUCCUUUCCCCCGUUCAUCCUAGCCAAUGAUGUGGCACGGGUUAUCUAUGUGAAGGACAUGUCUACCAAACCGAGAAAAAGAAAAAAUAAGGAAGCAAAUACAUCAUACGAUGAGCCAGAGCGCCACAUAGUUCUUUCAGGAAAAAGAGACAUCGUGGGAGUGAAGGGCAAGACAGACAUGUCCGAAGAUUAUGAAAAGUUUCAUGAAAUUCCUCCCUUCAAAGUCAAGGCUAACCCAAGCACCGUGUUAAACAAUGAAGAUUAUACACGAUUACGGUGCAAUAAGCAAGGGACACGUGCGAAGAAAAAGUGAAGGUGCUAUGUGGGUGAAAUGAUGAUACCAUGCCAACUUUCAACCUUCUCAGAGUUCAUUUGUAGUUGAAAGUGCUAGUUAUCGACUAGAGGGGGGGGGGGGUGAAUAGGCGAUUUUGAUGGAAGUCUUCAAAACACGGUUGCUUUGAAGACAAGAGGUAAACUAAGCCUAUAUAGUAAGCAGCGGAAUGAAAGCUAUACUAGGCAAACAUAAGUCUAACAUACAACAUAAUGAAAGCACGGAGACUAAUUGCAACUAGGUAGUCAGGAUUAGAAAGAUAGAUAGUACGGAGCUAAAAAGAUAAUAGUCUUCACAGUGUGAAGUAAAACAGAUUAGACAAGUAGGCAAUGACUUCACAAAGACAACUGUAAAGUAAGGAGAGUAGAGGAUAGAACUAGUAGCUUCACGAAGACAAGGAUUUGGUAGACCAGUUCCAGUUGCUAUGACAACUGUACGUCUGGUUACAGAGGCUGAGAUUUAACUCAGAAGACCGUGUCUUCACCUUAUUCCCCUUGAGAUAAGGACACCCAGUCCUCGCCCAAAUACUCUGGUAAGUCUUUGAGGUAGACUUCCAAACCUUCACAGACUUUGUUCACUGGCAAUCCACAAUGACUCUUGGAUGCUCAGAACGCGAUGCCUAACCGGCUGGAGGAUUCACAGUCCUCAAGUGUAACAAGUCUUCAGAUCACGCGGACAGAAAUACUUCUGUGAUGCCUAACACUGUAGCGACCAGACCUCAAACAGUCUGAUCUCUGUGCAUCAGUGUCAUCCCUGGAUCAGUAAUGCUGACACGCACAGUACUCGAAGGAUUUAUAACAGAGUAGCAAUCACACACUUAUUACAUCGAAUGUCUCCAAAAGAGAACUUAUUACAAUAAAUAUGGCUUAAGGCCAUCUAAUAACGAUAACAGCGGAAGGCUUGGAAGAUAAGUGAGUCCAUCAACUCCAACGGCAUCACUGAGUAUAGAACCACGACCUAAGGCACCUUACUCGUCGUCUGAAAAGUCUGCAACAUGAACGUUGCAGCCCGAAAAUGGGUCAGCACAUGGAAUAUGCUGGCAAUGUAACACAUAGAGAGUAAUAUGAAAGAGUAAGGCUAUACUACAUGCAUAUAUGGCUGGUGGAAAGCUCUAUGGUUACAGUUUUGCAUAAAGCCAAUUUUUCCCUACUGCAAAGGAAUAAAUUUUAUUUAACUAUCAUGGUGGUUGUUAAACAUUGAGAAUGGUUGACAGCUUUCUCAAUCCCAAUUAAGCAUCAUCAUUAAAACCCAACAAUAUUAAUUAAAGUAACAUGAUGAGAUUCACAUGAUAAUCCAAGUACUAGAUACUCAAGAUGUCCAUAACCGGGGACACAGCUAACCAUGAUUAGUUUGAUACAUUCUGCAGAGGUUUGCGCACUUUUCCCCACAAGACUCGAUCUCCUCCGUUGGGAUUCUCGCACUACACGGUGUUUGAGAAAUGGAUGAUCGGGACAUAGUAUUUCAGAAGCGCUAGCACCUUACAAAGGGGUAGACCGUACCAACAUACAUCCCCUACAUCGUCAGCUAGUCUAGCACUGUAAGAGUUCGCACGACCUAGUCAACUAUGCCAGAGCCCAUAGUAGCUUAUGGCUGCACACGGAAGUUUCUAGCAUGAAUAAUCUCAUGAUCCCUUUGAGCCUGGGUGGCGGUCCAAAAAGAAACAGGCAAUCCUGGAAUACCCAGGUACCUCAAUCCACCGAGAUGUGUGUUUAAGUUUCCACCUUAAAUAAACCAUUAAUUAAGAAUCUCACAUCUGUCAUGGAUACACUCACCCAAUCCACGUCUACUAGCAUAGCAUGGCAUAAUAAGCAAACGUAGAAGUAACUCCCAAGGGUUUGAUAAUAAAUCAGGUAAUAGGUACUACCUCAACUACUUUCCCAAAACCCACAAUUUAAUUAGAUCCUAAUCAUGCAAUGUUUGAGGAUUGAUCUAAUGCAUAAAAACUGGGUAUGAAAAGAAUAUGAUCAAAGUGUUACUUGCCUUGCUGAUGAUCCGUGAAACCUAGAGAUUCAAAGUAGCAAGCGGCGCACUCCGGGUACUCUAUCGCAAACAAACAAGCACACAAUAAGUACUCAACUAAUGCACAGGUAAAACUCAAAUAAAAGAUCUAACCAGAAAGUUCAACUUAAGAACUCCGGUUUGCAAAAAGAAACAACUCGAACGAAACAACAAAAAACAAACGGCGAAAGAAACAGGCUUCAUCUUACUAAUCUGGACCUAAGUCAAAUUUUAUAGAAGCAAAAACUUGUUUGAGUUGAUUAUUCGGAAAGAGGGUUUCGAGACCAAAACUCCAGGCGCUUGAAUCGCCUAAUUCCGAUAAACGAGCAAAAAUUUAUACUAGAUCGAAAAUCGGAUCAGAAAUCGCGAUCAGAAAAAUCGCGGAAUAAAUCCGAGAAAAAGAAAAACGAUGAAUAACUGGAUCUAAACGAUGAACGCGUUCAUUAAAACGAACAAACGAGCGAACGCUCGCUAUUUAACCUAAACCGAAAAAAACCGAUCUAAUAAAAAAAUGGAACUAAAAAACCGACUGAAAAACUGAACGGUUUUUCUAAAAAAAUGGCAGCGACGAGGUCAACCUCGGGGUGCGGGUCCGGCGAGGCGGCGGCUCCAGCGAGGGCGGCGGUGGUCGGCGGCGAUGGCGGCGUAGUCCAGCGAGGUCGGCGGCGGUCGGCAGGUUUGGCGGCGGAUCGGGNNNNNNNNNNNNNNNNNNNNNNNNNNNNNNNNNNNNNNNNNNNNNNNNNNNNNNNNNNNNNNNNNNNNNNNNNNNNNNNNNNNNNNNNNNNNNNNNNNNNNNNNNNNNNNNNNNNNNNNNNNNNNNNNNNNNNNNNNNNNNNNNNNNNNNNNNNNNNNNNNNNNNNNNNNNNNNNNNNNNNNNNNNNNNNNNNNNNNNNNNNNNNNNNNNNNNNNNNNNNNNNNNNNNNNNNNNNNNNNNNNNNNNNNNNNNNNNNNNNNNNNNNNNNNNNNNNNNNNNNNNNNNNNNNNNNNNNNNNNNNNNNNNNNNNNNNNNNNNNNNNNNNNNNNNNNNNNNNNNNNNNNNNNNNNNNNNNNNNNNNNNNNNNNNNNNNNNNNNNNNNNNNNNNNNNNNNNNNNNNNNNNNNNNNNNNNNNNNNNNNNNNNNNNNNNNNNNNNNGGUGCCGGCGGCGGAUCGGGCGGCGGGGCGCGGGCUAGGGUUAGGGUUAGGUGGGGCGCGGCGGCGGCUGGGCUGGCGGCGGCGGUUUGGGAUGGGGUCGGCCCGGGCGCGCGUUAUAAAGACCCCCGGCCCAAAGGCGGUUCGCGUUUUUUUAAAUAAUUCCGCGCAGAAAAACUAACGAAAGAAAUACUAAAUGGACUCCAAAAAUCCCGAAAUAAAUUUUCCCCGGCUUCGAAAAUAAAGCCGAACAAUAUGAACAUUUAUUUGGGGCCUAAAUGCAAUUUUAAAAAAUGCACAUUUUCCUAAAUUCAAAUAAAAUGGCGAAAAACUCCAAAUAAAAAUCUUAUUUGAUUUUUUAUUAAAUCUUCAAUAUUUCUUUGUUUUGGGAAAGUCAUUUUAUUUCCUCUCUCAUAUUUUGACAGUAGAAACAAUUGAAGCUAAAAUAAAUAUAAUCAAAUGAUCCUAUUUUCAAAAUUUGAGAAAACUCAAAUAUGAAAAUAACGAAAUUUCCAACUCUCUCCGUGGGUCCUUGAGUUGCGUGAAAUUUCUAGGAUUGAGCCAACAUGCAAUAAAAUAUGAUAUGCAAGUGAUGCUCUAUGUAUAACAUUCCAAAUUGAAAAUUUGGGAUGUUACAAACCUACCCCCCUUAAGAUGAAUCUCGCCCUCGAGAUUCGGGUUGGCUAGAAAAUAGGUGAGGGUGGGCCUUAAGCAGAUCUUCCUCUCGCUCCCAGGUGGCUUCAUCCUCGGUGUGGUGGCUCCACUGAACUUUGAAAAACUUAAUAACCUUGUUGCGGAUGACUCGGUUGGCAUACUGGAGAAUUUUGACUGGUUUUUCCUCGUAGGUCGAAUCAUUACCCAACUGAAUCGCUUCAAGCGGCACAAUAUCUUUCAGUGGUAUAUCAGCCAUCUCUGCGUGGCACUUCUUCAACUGAGAAACGUGGAACACGUCGUGAACUCCUGACAAUCCCUCGGGCAAUUCCAACUUAUACGCAACUUCUCCCAUGCGCUCCAGAACUUUGUACGGUCCCACAAAACGUGGCGCUAACUUUCCUUUAACUCCAAAGCGCUUAACUCCUCGAAGCGGGGAUACUCGAAGAUAAACUCUGUCUCUGACUUUGUAUACCGUCUCCUUGCGUUUUGAAUCCGCACAGCUCUUCUGCCUAGACUGCGCUACCUUGAGCCUAUCGCGAAUCAACUUCACUUUCCAUUCAGACUCCUUAAUCAAAUCUGGUCCAAACAACUGGAGGUCUCCAACUUCAUCCCACAACAGCAGGGUUCUGCACCUCCUUCCGUACAAGGCUUCGAAAGGGGCCAUCUUCAAACUGGUUUGAUAGCUGUUGUUAUAAGAAAACUCCGCAUAUGGCAAGUUGUCAUCCCAACUUGAUCCAUAAUCCAAUGCACAUGCUCUCAUCAUAUCCUCCAAAAUCUGGUUGACUCUCUUGGUUUUUCCAUCUGUCUGUGGAUGAAAAGCUGUACUAAACUCUAGUCUAGUUCCCAAAGUUUCGUGCAACUGAUUCCAACACUUUGAGGUGAAUUGGGUUGCUCUAUCUGAUACGAUACUCCUCGGAACUCCAUGCAGACAUACGAUUCUGGUCAUGUAUAUCUUAGCCAAUUUGGCACUGCUGUAGGUAGUCUUCACUGGAAUGAGAUGAGCUACCUUCGUCAAAUGAUCGACUACAACCUAAAUCGAGUCAUAGCCUGAACGAGUGCUGGGCAAUCCCGUAAUGAAAUCCAUGCCUAACUUUUCCCACUUCCAUUCGGGUAUUGGCAAAGGUUGUAACAAUCCUGCUGGCUUCUGAUGUUCUGCCUUCACUCUCUGACAUACAUCACAAACUGCUACAUACUCCACAAUAUCCUUCUUCAUUCCGGUCCACCAGAAAGUAUCCUUCAAAUCCAAAUACAUCUUGGUAUUCCUGGGUGAAUCGAAUACGGCGAAUCAUGGGCCUCUUGUAGAAUCAACUUCCUGAUCUCCGGAUCACUAGGCACAUAAACGCGGUCCUCAAACCAUAAGGUAUCGUGCUCAUCCUCAUGAAAUCCCUUAGAUUUUCCCUUGCUCAUUUUCUCCUUGAUAGAGGCAAUCUCCUUAUCCGUCUUCUGAGCUUCUCUGAUCUUAUCCAUCAAGGUAGAUUGUAUCUCUAAUGCUGAUACAUAGCCUCUCGGAACUAUCUCCAAACAUAGCUCUCAAAAUUCCUUGGCUAAUUCUUUUGGUAAACCUCCGGUCAUUAGAGUGUUGACAUGGCUCUUACGGCUCAACGCAUCUGCUACUACGUUAGCCUUUCCGGGAUGAUAAUGCAAUCUCAUAUCGUAAUCCUUAAUGAGCUCCAACCAUCUCCUCUGCCUGAGAUUUAACUCCUUCUGCAUGAAGAUGUACUUCAAACUCUUGUGAUCCGUGUACACCUCAUAGUGGUUUCCAAUAAGAAAAUGUCUCCAAGUCUUCGGUGCAUGCACUACGGCUGCUAGCUCCAAAUCAUGCGUAGCAUAAUUUAACUCAUGAGGCUUAAGCUGUCGUGAAGCAUACGAAACAACUCUUCCCUCCUGCAUAAGCACUGCUCCAAUUCCUCGACGUGAAGCAUCACAAUACACCUCGUAAUCCUUGCUUUGAUCUGGCAGUAUUAACACUGAUGAGGUAACCAAACGUUUCUUGAACUCUUGGAAACUAGCCUCACAUUCCUCAGUCCAAUUGAACUUAGUGUCCUUCUUCAACAACUCCGCCAUAGGCUUCGCAAUCUUCGAGAAAUUCUCAAUGAAUAUCCGGUAGUAUCCUGCCAGUCCAAGAAAACUCCGGAUCUCUCCAACUAUCGUUGGUGCUUCCCAGUUUGUCAUAGUGGCAACUUUAGUGGGGUCCACUGCUAUACCUUCUCCGAAUAUAACAUGUCCGAGAAAUCCAACUUCCUUCAACCAAAACUCACAUUUGCUGAACUUGGCAUAGAACUGAUGUUCUCUGAGCUUCUCGAGUACCAAACACAAAUGCUCCUCAUGUUCUUCUUCAUUCUUUGAGUAGACCAAAAUAUCAUCCAUGAACACCACGACAAACUUAUCCAAAAAUUCCAUAAACACCUUGUUCAUCAUGUUCAUGAAAUAGGCAGGUGCGUUAGUCAAACCAAGUGACAUAAUAGUAUACUCAUACAACCUGUACCUGGUUAUAAAAGCCGUCUUAGGUAUAUCCUGCUCUCGAAUCUUCAACUGAUGGUAUCCCGAUCGCAAAUCGAUCUUGGAAAAUACCUUAGCUCCUUGCAAUUGGUCGAACAAGUCGUUGAUCAUCGGCAACAGGUACUUAUUCUUAAUGGUCACUUCAUUCAAUCCACGAUAAUCAACAACCAUUCUCAAUGAUCCAUCCUUCUUCUCCACUAGAAGUACUGGCAAUCCCCAAGGCGAAGAACUUGGGCGAAUAAAACCUUUAUCCAGUAACUCCUUAAUCUGCUUCUUAAUUUCUUCCAAAUCUUGUGCGGGCAUCCUAUACGCUCUCUUAAAUAUCGCCCCGGUGCCUGACAAUAGUUCAAUCAAGAACUCAAUGUCUCUAUCCAGUGGCAUGCCUGGCAACUCUUCUGGAAACACGUCCGGGUAAUCCUUCACCACUGGUACUUCCUCCUGCACAACUCCUGAUAAGGAAUUUACAUGUGCCCUCCUCGGCUCAUGCCGUGAUACAUACUUGAUUCUUCUUCCUUCUGGGGUGGUAAGCAAAAUCGACUUACUGGCGCAAUCAAUGUUCCCUCCGUACUUUGAUAACCAAUCCAUGCCUAAUAUCACAUCCAAUCCUUGAGAUUCCAAAACUAUUAGGUCCGAGGGGAAUACAUAGUUUCCAAUCCUUAAUGGUAGUCGAUCACACCAUCUACUAGCCAUAUAUUCUGCUCCGGGUGAGGUUACUAGCAUGGGUGACCUAAGGGCUUGGGUUGGCAAUUUAUACUUAUCCACAAAUCCCCUUGAUAUGUAUGAAUGCGAUGCACCAGUAUCAAAAAGGACAACUGCAGUAAAUGUCUUAACCAAAAACUUACCUAUUACUGCAUCUGGCCGAGCUUCAACAUCCUCCACGGUAACGUGGUUCACCUGUCCCCUGUUGAAAGGGUUCGGCUUGUUCCCUGAGCUUCCAUUGCCAUUACCAUUUUGGGCUUCAGGACAUUCAUUUGCAUAAUGCACAGUCUUCUGACAUUUAAAACAAGUGACUUGGCUCAGGUCUCUCUUGGCUGGGGUUGACGGGUUGGUGCGGUUUUGUCCAUUGCUUCCUCCAUUCCCGUUUCCAUUCUUGGUGCCAUUAUGAUUGUGCGAGUUACCUCCUCCAUGGGUAUGCUAAAAUUUUCCUCCCGGCUUUGGGGUAAAGCGUAGCUUCUGCUGAGCUCCAGAAUUGUACUUCCCCUGUCCAUACUUCCUCUUGCGAUUGUCAAUCUGCUGCUGCUUCCCUUCAAUCAUAAGAGCAUGAUCUACCAACUCCUGGUAGUUAUUGAAAGUGGCCACCAUCAACUGCAUGCUUAGUUCAUCAUUCAGUCCUUCCAGAAACUUCUCCUGUUUAGCAGCAUCUGUAGCAACGUCAUCUGGGGCAUAACGAGCUAACUUACUGAAAUCCUCUACAUACUGGCCUAUAGUGCGCCCUCCUUGGCGUAAGUUGCAAAACUCACGCUUCUUCAUGGCCAUAACUCCUGUUGAAACGUGGGCAGUACGGAAAGCUUACUGAAACUGAUCCCAUGUGACUGUGUCAAUAGGGUGUGUGGCUGUGUAAUUUUCCCACCAUGAUGCUGUGGGUCCAUCAAGCUGAUGUGCGGCAAAACGCACUCUUUCCGCAUCAGUGCAUCCUGCAGCGGUCAGCUCCCUUCCAACCUUGCGGAGCCAAUCAUUUGCAGCAAUUGGCUCGGUGCUACUAGAAAACACCGGAGUAUUUAGCCUCAAGAAACAAGUCAAAUGGUCAACAGGUGGUGGUGGUGGGUUGUUGUUGUUGUUGUUGUUGUUGUUGUUGUUGUUGCCUUGGUUCCGUACCAGUGUUUGAAUCAAGGCAUUCUGCUACUGAAUCAACUGAGUGAUCUCCGGUGGGAAAACAAAUCUGGUGUCGCGUCUCGGAGGCAUCUGAGGGUUUAGAAAAGAAGAGAAAAAUAGAAUAGAAUGAGGUCUAGUGAGAAAACACUACCCAUAUGCACAUGAGACAAAAGCAAACAAUAUCACUCCAAUCAAUUCAAACAAGGGCAUACAACGGUCUAACUAUCGUUACAAACGUGCUUGGACUAAACUAAUUACAAUGGGGGAAAUUCUACUACUGUUAUGGUGGUCAGCUAGAAAAACUGCUUUGAUGAAGACUCCAUGAUAUCGGAUCCAGCUUCAUCAACAUAGUCAUCAUCACUAUCGUCGGGGUCCGAGUCGGUGUCGUCGAUGAUGAUAUAGUUAUUCGGGCAAAUGGAAUCGUCAUCAUUUCCUCCUGGCGCGGGGUCUCCCAUGAAAACUCCGAGCUUCCUGGUUAAGUGGUCAUUCUUCUCUACUAGCACUUCAAUUUCUUCCAUGUAAUCUUCACGUGUAGCCUUGAGUUCUUCCUGUAGCUCCUUGAUCUUGGUCAUAGCCUUCUGCAGAUCCUCCAUGCCUGCACACAUCUGGUUCUCCUGACGUUGGAUGUGCUGGUUUAACUCCUGGAUAAAAGCUGCGAUUGAUCUAUCCCUCUUGGUGCUGAUCAUCUCCCAUUGCUCAUCUCGACGCCCACAAAUCUGGUAGAUAGGAUUCUUGAGAUCAUUGUGGUAAACUUCUCCAAUACGUCCCAUGGCGAUGUGGGCUGCCAUGCUCUUUCCUAGACUCCAGGUUGGUGCAUCAAAGGAAAACUCUAUGGGCUCCGUGACUGGUGCAAAUGUCCUUCCUGGAACUUGAACUUGAAUCAUCCAGGGCUCCUCUUCGGGUAAAGUGGCAUUGUAGGUCCCGGUGAAGCUUGGUACUCCGAUGUUCAGGUAUCUAGUGACUUCCUUCAAGUGACAUCCAAAGGGUGUAUCUUCAUCCGGUUGUGUGAAUUUGUUCCUUGCAUCCGCCAUCCUAAAAGAAUAGAAAAGAUGAGGAGUCAGAAAUGAGAAGAAAGAGUAGUGAUCUAGGGCUUUAGCUUAGUGGCCGUGUCCUACAGUCAGCCUGUGCUCUGAUACCAUCUUGUUGCGACCAGACCUCAAAUAGUCUGAUCUCUGUGCAUCAGUGUCAUCCCUGGAUCAGUAAUGCUGACACGCACAGUACUCGAAGGAUUUAUAACAGAGUAGCAAUCACAAACUUAUUACAUUGAAUGUCUCCAAAAGAGAACUUAUUACAAUAAAUAUGGCUUAAGGCCAUCUAAUAACGAUAACAGCGGAAGGCUUGGAAGAUAAGCGAGUCCAUCAACUCCAACGACAUCACUGAGUAUAGAACCACGACCUAAGGCACCUUACUCGUCGUCUGAAAAGUCUGCAACAUGAACGUUGCAGCCCAAAAACGGGUCAGCACAUGGAAUAUGCUGGCAAUGUAACACAUAGAGAGUAAUAUGAAAGAGUAAGGCUAUACUACAUGCAUAUAUGGAUGGUGGAAAGCUCUAUGGUUACAGUUUGCAUAAAGCCAAUUUUUCCCUACUGCAAAGGAAUAAAUUUUAUUUAACUAUCAUGGUGGUUGUUAAACAUUGAGAAUGGUGGACAACAUUCUCAAUCCCAAUUAAGCAUCAUCAUUAAAACCCAACAAUAUUAAUUAAAGUAAGAUGAUGAGAUUCACAUGAUAAUCCAAGUACUAGAUACUCAAGAUGUCCAUAACCGGGGACACAGCUAACCAUGAUUAGUUUGAUACACUCUGUAGAGGUUUGCACACUUUUCCCCACAAGACUCGAUCUCCUCCGUUGGGAUUCUCGCACUACACGGUGUUUGAGAAACGGAUGAUCGAGACAUAGUAUUUCAGAAGCGCUAGCACCUUACGAACGGGUAGACCGUACCAACCUACAUCCCCUACAUCAGCUAGUCUACCACUGUAAGAGUUCGCACGACUUACUCAACUAUGCUAGAGCCCAUAGUAGCUUGUGGCUGCACACAGAAGUUUCUAGCAUGAAUAAUCUAAUGAUCCCUUUGAGCCUGGGUGGCGGUCCAAAAAGAGUAAGGCUAUACUACAUAGGUACCUCAAUCCACCCAGAUGUGUGUUUAAGUUGCCACCUUAAAUAAACCAUUAAUUAACAAUCUCACAUAUGUCAUGGAUACACUCACCCAAUCCACGUCUACUAGCAUAGCAUGGCAUAAUAAGCAAACAUAGAAGUAACUCCCAAGGGUUUGAUAAUAAAACAGGUAAUAGGUACUACCUCAACUACUUUCCCAAAACCCACAAUUUAAUUAGAUCCUAGUCAUGCAAUGUUUGAGGAUUGAUCUAAUGCAUAAAAACUGGGUAUGAAAAGAAUAUGAUCAAAGUGUUACUUGCCUUGCUGAUGAUCCGUGAAACCUAGAGAUUCAAAGUAGCAAGCGGCGCACUCCGGGUACUCUAUCGCAAACAAACAAGCACACAAUAAGUACUCAACUAAUGCACAGGUAAAACUCAAAUAAAAGAUCUAAUCAGAAAGUUCAACUUAAGAACUCCGGUUUGCAAAAAGAAACAACUCGAACGAAACAACGAAAAAUAAACGGCGAAAGAAACAGGCUUCGUUUUACUAAUCUGAACCUAAGUCAAAUUUUACAGAAGCAAAAACUUGUUUGAGUUGAUUUAUUCUGAAAGAGGGUGUCGAGACGAAACUCCAGACGCUUGAAUCGCCUGAUUCCGAUAAACGAGCAAAAAGUUAUACCAGAUCGAAAAUCGGAUCAAAAAUCGCGAUCAGAAAAAUCGCGGAAUAAAUCCGAGAAAAAGAAAAAUGACGAAUAGGUUAACGAACGAACGUUCGUGAACUAGAUCUAAAUGAUGUACAUGUUCUUUAAAACGAACGAACGAGCGAACGCUCACUAUGUAACCUAAACCGGAAAAAAACCAAUCUAAUAAAAAACGGAACUAUAAAAAACGGACGAAAAAACCGAACGGUUUUUCUAAANNNNNNNNNNNNNNNNNNNNNNNNNNNNNNNNNNNNNNNNNNNNNNNNNNNNNNNNNNNNNNNNNNNNNNNNNNNNNNNNNNNNNNNNNNNNNNNNNNNNNNNNNNNNNNNNNNNNNNNNNNNNNNNNNNNNNNNNNNNNNNNNNNNNNNNNNNNNNNNNNNNNNNNNNNNNNNNNNNNNNNNNNNNNNNNNNNNNNNNNNNNNNNNNNNNNNNNNNNNNNNNNNNNNNNNNNNNNNNNNNNNNNNNNNNNNNNNNNNNNNNNNNNNNNNNNNNNNNNNNNNNNNNNNNNNNNNNNAGCGCGGCGCGCGAGGCGGCGGCGGCGGAACGGGCGGUGGUGCGCGGGCUAGGGUUAGGGUCAGGUGGGGCGCGGCGGCGGCUGGGCUGGUGGCGGCGGUUUGGGCUGGGGUCGGCCCGGGCACGCGUUAUAAAGACCCCCGGCCAGGCGGAGUCCUGGCCGGUUACGGCCCAAAGGCGGUUCGCGUUUUUUUUAAAUAAUUCCACGCAGAAAAACUAACGAAGGAAAUACUAAACGGACUCCAAAAAUCCCGAAAUAAAUUUUCUCUGGCUUCUAAAAUCAAGCCGGAGAAGAUGAACAUUUAUUUGAGGCCUAAAUGCAAUUUUGAAAAAUGCACAUUUUUCCUAAAUUCAAAUAAAAUGGCGAAAAACUCCAAAUAAAAAUCUUAUUUGAUUUUUUAUUAAAUCUUCAAUAUUUCUUUAUUUUGGGAAAGUCAUUUUAUUCCCUCUCUCAUAUUUUGAUAGUAGAAAUAAUUGAAGAUAAAAUAAAUAAAAUCAAAUGAUUCUAUUUUCAAAAUUUGAGAAAACUCAAAUAUGAAAAUAACGAAAUUUCCAACUCUCUCCGUGGGUCCUUGAGUUUCGUGAAAUUUCUAGGAUCGAGCCAACAUGCAAGAAAAUAUGAUAUGCAAGUGAUGCUCUAUGUAUAACAUUCCAAAUUGAAAAUUUGGGAUGUUACAAACACUCUUUGGCUCUGGGUGUUUUGGGCUUUGUCCUCGCAAGGAUUUCUCUCUCAAAUGCUUCAGAGGUGUGUUGCUCUCAACCGACAAAAGCCGUGCACUAACUCUAAGAAGCCACCAAUUUAUGGUGUAGGGGGUGGGCUAUUUAUAGCGAGGAGGCAAUCCGACCUAAUUUGUCCAAAAUGCCCCUGGGUCACUAAGGAACUGACACGUGUCCAACGGUCAGAUUUCAAACACAUGCGGCAACUUGGUUUUGGCUACUAGCAAAGCUGACUCAUCUAGCUCUGGAUAAGAUUUGCUCUCAGUGUCUUCACUCGAAGACAUAGGAUUUGGUUGAGCAUCACUUCAGUCACUCCGACUUUGUUCACUUGGACCCCACUUAACAAUACGGUGGUUCCUAUGACUAAUAAGAAGAAGAGGAAACUACGAAACAACUAUGUCUUCGCACUCCAUAGUCUUCAAGUGAAUAGCUUCACGCGUCAUAAUCUUCGUUGUGAAUGUCUUCACGAACCACCAUUGUCGUCAAUGUCUUCACACAUUUUUAGGGGUCAUCUCUGGUAGGUAAACCGAGUCAAUGAGGGACACUACCUGUGUUAUCCUGCAAUUCUCACAAACACAUUAGUCCCUUAACCAUAUUUGUCGUCAAUACUCCAAAACCAACUAGGGGUGGCACUAGAUGCACUUACAAUCUCCCCCUUUUUUGUGAUUGAUGACAAACUGGUUGAAGUUUUCAAUGGGGAUAAAAGUAUGUGAAAGUUCAGUGUUGUGAGUAUUGUCUUCAUACAUAUGACGAGGCUUCCCCUGAAGAUGUGCAUAUAAAUAGUUUGCUUUUGAAUGCAAAUGCACGUGGCAGGUUUUUCUUUGUGGAGGCCAUCUUCAAAGUGUGAAGACAAUGCAUCAUGCAUAUAAAAGGAUAAUGAAGAUAAUGAUAUGCAUAAUGGAAAAUGGACGUCUGCAGAAUGACUUCAUGCAGAAUUUAUCAUUGCAUCACAAAGUGGCAGCAAAAAGUAGCAGACGACCAUCAAGUUUAAGUGUUACAACUGAAAAGCAAAAAGUUUCAGAAUGAGAGUUGUAAGAACUUAGCAAAAAUUUAGCAACCACCCAUAUGGACCCGCUUGAAGACUAUCAACUCAUAUGCUUCUCCCCCUUUUGUUAGUAAUGACCAAAAAGGUUUGAAGACAUAGAGAUCUACUCAUUCCUAGUUGGAGACGAAAGUGGAGCAGCAGGGUCGACGUUGGAGUUUGGUGGAGCAGACAGGCCUUGUGCAUCAUCAUCAUGCUGAGCAGUGAGAGCAGGCGAAGUGGCGUCAUCUUCUUCAUCGACGAAUCUCGCAACAACAGUUUCAACCGAGGAUGAAUACUCAGAAUAUUCAAUGGAGGGUGUGAGACACUAGUAGAAAAAGGGUCAAAUGUGAGACACAUUAGUCCCGGUUUGUAACAGAACCGGCACUAAUGUGUCCAUUAGUGCCGGUUCCAACGGCUAGCCGGGAGGAGCUCUUUAGUACCGGUUUGUGGCAAACCUUUAGCACCGGUUCGUGCCACGAACCGGUACUAAUGAGAGUGGUGGCAGGAUGUUGUCAGAGUGGGGCCCUUUCAGCACCUUUAGUACCGGUUCGUGUCACGAAUCGGUACUAAUGUUGUCAGAGUGGGGCCCUUCCAGCAUCUUUAGUACCGGUUCGUGGCACGAACCGGUACUAAAGGUCGUCCUAUAUAAAUCCUUCGUCCACCCGCACUCUGUUCUUCCCCCUUUCCCCUCUCCCUCUCCUCUGUUCUUCCCUUCUUCCUCUCGAGUUCAUCACAAAACUUGCCCCAAAUUUGUCAAGAUUUGCCGGCCCUCAUCCAUUCAAAUGAUCACCAAGGUUAGCAACUUCGUCCUUUCAUCUCUCAUUGCUAGAUUAGCUCUUGCAUUGGUUUAUAUAGUGAUUAAUUGUGGGUUUUAGUAAUUUGGGAGGAAUUAUAUGUGGUAGUAUUUGAUUUAUAUGCAAUUUGAGGUCAAAAUAACACUUAGUUUGCAUAUGUAGGUGUGGUUUACUUAGUGCCUUCUAAAUCUCCGUCGUAACCACCGUCGAUCGCCUGCACCGUCCCGUCGCCGGCACCACCUUGUGGUGAGACUCUUGUUCAUGAAAUUUUAUAUAAAAAAUUGAUGUUUGCGUGAUUUGGAUAUAUAGUUACUCGUAUAAUAAUUAUCUUACCCAUACGUUGUUUGUUAUACAUAGUGCCAUGGUUUUGAUAUCCGUCCCCGUCGGCUCUCGUCCUUGUUAUGAUUCGGAUGUGGUAUAUUCUCUUUUAAAACUAUUUGUUGCAUUUCGUGUUUAUGACAAAUUAUGCCCAUCAAGUUGACAUAGAUAUUUUUAUCUAGGAGGUAUGUGAACCGGAAAUUCCAACCGACCCUAUUGUCGAGAGGUUAAAUUUAGUUGAAAGAGAAAAUGAGUACUUGAAAGAAAAAUUGAAAAGAAUUGAGGAGGAGAAGAUGGAAUUGGAGUUGCAUGUUGCCGAUGUCAUCGAUGAUCACAAGAUCAAGAUGGAGAAAAUGCGCUUGAAGAUUAGAAAGAUUAGAAAAUAUGCCAUCGAUAGUGAGGCUUGGUAUCAUUAUGCUGUUGGAUCAAUUGUUACCUUAGUUGCGAUCUUGAUCGCAUUUGUUGUUGCAUUUAAAUGCUUUAGCUAGAGAGUUAUUUGUUUGUUGCAUUUAAGUGUUGUAUGAACUUUAUGUAUGAACUUGUAUUAAUUUGGUCUAUUCGGUGUUGUGUAAUGAAGAUGAGCCGGCAAUGGAUGUACGAUGACCGAUGCUCUCCCCAGUUUGUUGAGGGCGUGCAUACUUUUCUGCUUGCGGCUGAGGCAAACAAGCGGGCGGAUGGUUUUAUGCCUUGUCCAUGUGCUGGCUGUAAGAAUGGUCGCAAUUACUCUACGUCAAGAACCAUUCACGUCCACCUGUUUGAGUCCGGUUUCAUGCCCCACUAUAAUGUUUGGACCAAGCACGGAGAAAGAGGGGUUAUGAUGGAAGACAAUGAAGAAGAAGAGGACAACGACAACUAUCCUGGCCAUGGGUUCCCUAAAUACGAUGAUACAACAAUGGGGGAAGAAGCUGAGCCGGUAAUGCGGGAAGAAGCUGAGCCGGCAAUGCGGGAAGAAGCUGAAGAAGAGGCAUCAGAUGAGCCCGUUGAUGAUCUAGGUCAGGCCAUUGCCGAUGCAAAGAGAAACUGCGCAAGUGAUUUGGAGAAGAAGAAGUUGCAGCACUUGUUAGAGGAUCAUAAAAAAUUGUUGUACCCAAAUUGCGUAGGUGACAAGAAAAAGCUGGGCACCACACUGGAAUUGCUGCAAUGGAAGGCAGAGAAUGGUGUAUCUGACAAGGGAUUUGGAAAGUUGCUGGUAAUGAUAAAGGAUAUGCUUCCGAAGGACAACGAAUUGCCCGAGAGUACGUACGAAGCAAAGAAGGUUGUCUUCCCUCUAGGGUUAGAGGUGCAGAAGAUACAUGCAUGCCCUAAUGAUUGCAUCCUCUACCGCGGUGAGUACGAGGAUUGUGAAGCUAUGUGCAUUUCUCAAUGCAAUCUCUCAGAAGGUAAUCGAUCCAGAAAUCAUACCAAGGUUACAGAAUGAUUUGGUGCAAUGUCUUGUCAGUUUCGAGUUGGUGUUCCCACCAUCCUUCUUCAACAUCAUGACGCACGUCCUAGUUCACCUAUGCAAGGAGAUUAACGUUUUGGGUCCUGUAUUUCUACACAAUAUGUUCCCCUUUGAGAGGUUCAUGGGAGUCUUAAAGAAAUAUGUUCAUAACCGUGCUAGGCCAGAAGGAAGCAUCUCCAAGGGCCAUCAAAAUGAGGAGGUCAUUGAGUUUUGUAUUGACUUUAUUCCUGACCUUAAGCCGAUUGGUUCCUGAAUCGCGGCAUAAGGGCAGACUGGAUGGAAAAGGCACGCUAGGAGGGGAACAAAUAAUAUGUAUGGACAGACAUUCUCUCACUGAAGCACACUACACAGUUCUAUAGAAUUCCGCCUUGGUGGCUCCGUAUAUGGAUGAACACAAGAAUUUGCUACGCUCCAAACACCCGGAGCGGUCUGAUGACUGGAUUACACGUGAACAAACCAGGAGUUUCGCCAGCUGGUUGCAGACACGUACCAUGCAUGACACCUCUAUUGAAGAUGACCUGUACUUGCUGUCCCAGUUACCAUCUUCGAAUAUAAUGACUUUCAAAGGGUACGAGAUAAAUGGUAAUACAUUUUACACGAUCGUAAGAUAAGAAGAGCACCAACCAAAACAGUGGUGUCUGCUUUGAUGAAGAAACCAAGACGGGAAAGGAAACAUAUUAUGGUUAUAUACAGGACAUAUGGGAACUUGACUAUCGACGUGGUUUAAAGGUCCCUUUGUUUCGGUGCAAAUGGGUCAAUAUGACAUGAGGCGGGGUAACGGAAGACCCGCAGUACAGAAUGACAAUAGUGGAUCUCAACAAUCUUGCGUAUGCAGACGAACCAUUCGUCCUAGCCAAUGAUGUGGCACAGGUUUUCUAUGUGAAGGACAUGUCUACCAAGCCAAGAAAAAGAAAAGAUAAGGAAGCGAAUGCAUCGUACGAUGAGCCAAAGCGGCACAUAGUUCUUUCUGGGAAGAGAAACAUCAUGGGAGUGGAUGACAAGACAGACAAGUCAGAAGAUUAUGAAAAGUUUGAUGAAAUUGCUCCAUUCAGAGUGAAUAUUGACCCGAGUAUCCCGUUAAAUGAUGAAGAUUUUCCAUGGUUACGGCGCAAAGGGACACACGCGAAGAAAAAGUUUCACACCCAAAGAUCUGGGAUGUGAUCGGCUUCACUAGCUAUCAUCACUUUCUUCUGUGUUUCUCACCAAGAGGGGAAUCUCUGUAAUAGUUAGGGUAGUUAUGUGUUUUGGCAUUUGAAAUGCGAAGAAAUUUUAUGUGCAAACAAAUUCACACUAAUUUCAAAUAAUUCAAAAUUUAAACUAUUCAAAUUUGAAAACUAUGGGCACUAACAGAAAGUUUGUAAUUUUUUGUACCUAAAGAGGUUGUGUAAGCCUCCGGUCAGGCUAUGGCCCCACCAUCACCAUUUAGUGCCGGUUCAUGUUUUGGCAUUUGAAAUGCGAACAAAUUUUAUGUGCAAACAAAUUCACACUAAUUUCAAAUAAUUCAAAAUUUAAACUAUUCAAAUUUGAAAACUACGGGCACUAACAGAAAGUUUGUAAUUUUUUGUACCUAAAGAGGUUGUGUAAGCCUCCGGUCAGGCUAUGGCCCCACCAUCACCAUUUAGUGCCGGUUCGUACCACGAACCGGUACUAAUGAGGUUGUGUCAGGUAAGUCUGGGGCCCCACGAGCACCUUUAGUACCGGUUCAUGGAUGAACCAGACGUAAGCUGUUUUUUAGUCCCACCUCGCGAAGUGAGAGGGACUAGGAGCGGUUUAUAAGCCCUGAGUGCAGAGACGAUGAACAAGAGGAUCAAUGCUCACGUUGCUUAGCUUCAAGCCUUCAGGAAUACGGUAGACUGCACGGAGCUAUGCGCAGUGCAGUUUACACUAUUCCGAAAGGCUUGAAGCAAAUUAACGAGCAUUGCACCUCUUUUUUAUUUUUAACAACUUAUUAAAACUCCGGACUUCUUCUGUUAUGGCAAAAACUAAUUGCACGUCGACAUUUCUUUUUUUUAAGUUAUAACUCCAGACUUUGACCAUCAUGUUUUGCAGAAAAGAAAAAAUAGCAAAAAAGAAAGAAAAACUAUAGCUGAAAAGAAAAAAAACUAUAUAAAAAAACUACUCAAAAAUAAAUAGAAGAAAAUAAAUAUAGCAGAAAAGAAAAAACUAUUCAGAAAUAAAUAGAAGAAAAAAUAAAGCAGAAAAGAAAAAAAAUUAUAUUUGCUAUUUUUCAAUCGUUUACAAAAUGACCGUGAAAUUGAAAAUCACUACAAAAUGAACUCUGAAAAUGUUGAAUUUUGGCAAACUAGAUGAAAAACUACUCACAAAUAAAUAGAAGAAAAGAAAUAUAACAGAAAAGAAAAAACUAUACAAAAAACUAUGCAAAAUAAAUAGAAGAAAAUAAAGCAGAAAAGAAAAAAACUAUAAAAAAAA